Molecule: long non-coding RNA, 56806 nt
Filed under: Gossypium barbadense (sea-island cotton)
Lineage: Eukaryota; Viridiplantae; Streptophyta; Magnoliopsida; Malvales; Malvaceae
Description: long non-coding RNA (GBAR_LNC007897)
Source: RNAcentral
GCUAGCAGAGCCACAACCAUAAUCUCCUGUUCUGGACCAUCCUUUACUACCAUUGGAUUGAGAAUUUUAAAUAAGGAAUUCUCCUGCAUUGAAUGCAAAAAAUAAGAUACCAAGCUUCUCACUGGCUCUGAUUGGUUUGCAGAGAUGGGUUUUUGUCCUGUUAAAAGCUCAAUGAGAACAACUCCAAAGCUAUAAACAUCACUCUUCUCUGUAAAUUGAUUUGUUCGAAAAUAUUCAGGAUCCAUGUAUCCAAAAGUUCCUUCCACCCGGGUGGUUAGAUGUGUUUGCUCAAGUGCAACUGAUCUUGAAGUUCCAAAAUCAGAUACUUUUGCCCUAUAUUUAUCAUCCAAAAGUAUGUUACUAGAUUUGAUGUCUCGAUGAUAAAUAGGAGCAGAAGCAGCUGAAUGCAAAUAGAACAACGCAUUGGCAAUUUCGAUUGCAAUUCGUAAACGCAUUUCCCAUGUCAAUGGUAAUUCUUCAUUUUGUUUACGAAUGAGAUCGUAUAAUGUACCAUUUGGGAUGAACUCAUACACCAAUAGAGGAACUUCAGCUUCUAAGCAACACCCUAAAAGCUUAACCACAUUCCUGUGAUUAAUUUGAGAUAAAAUUAUCACCUCGUUAAUGAAUUGUUCAACCUUCUUUUCGUCAAAUUUCUUUCCUUCCACCAUUUUGGACUUCUUAAUAGCCACAAUGCUUCCAUCUAUUAGCAUCCCUUUAUAAACAGUCCCUUGACCUCCUUGACCAAGGAUUCGGUUCUCAUUAUAAUGAUCGGUCGCCUUUUCCAUCUCUUUCGAAGUAAACAACUUAAUUUUUUUAACAUUACCUUCAGACGAAUGUUGUUGCAGUAACAAACCUCCAUUCCUUUUGAAGUAUUUCUGCUUCAGCAUGAUUUUUUUUUUCUUUUGAGGACUUUGUACAUACUCCAUGUUGCGAGUAGUAGAAAUAGUGUCCCAAUACUAGUGCUGCAACCUAUAUAGAUAUAAGUAACAUUGUUAAAAGUUAAAUUUGAAAAUUCAAAUACAUUCUAAAAAACCAUGAGAAUGUUUCAAUAAAGUUUUAUUCAUAUUUGAAAAAAUGAGAGAACCUUAUUGCACCAUCCAUUGUUCUGAUAUUGAACUUUUACAAAUUUAAUGAUAAAUAAUUGUUAUUGCAUCACUCAUUCAAAAAGUAAAUAAAUCAUUGCUUGAAUUUACAUAAUCCAAUAAUCAUAAUGAUUUCACUUUAAAAACAAAAAAGUAUAAAUUAGCACGUACCUAUAAUAAUGCUUGUCAAGCUACGAGUUGUUUGAUUUUGUAUAUUGCGCUCACAACGAAAUCCUGUACUAUUAUAUUUAUAAUGAGGAGGGCAAGACUCUGGCGAGCAAUAGUUGCUAGGCAUAUUCAAACAAAGUAUGCGGCAAUACUGAUAAUCCCCACAAUUCCAAUCUGUCAUUUAUGAGUUGAAUAAAAAAAAGUUAUAAUCGUAUUAUUCAAACUUGAAUAGAAACAGGUUAUCUUUAAAAUUAAAAUUUAAAGAUUAGAAAGAGACUGAGAAGUAGGUUAUCUUUAAAUUUUGUUAUCUUUUUUUAUUUUUAAAGAAAUUCAAUCAUUGAAUUUGUACGAUUUAUUUGCCACUUCAAACCUAGUAGCUAUAUACGUUUAGAGCUCUAUGGAUGUUUAAGAGUUUUGUACCAAGAAAAAUAUGCAAAAUUAUCUUCAAAAGUAUAAAUUUUCUUCUUCUUUUUUUUUUUUUGAGAAAUUCACUGUAAAACUAAAUACAUUAGUGUAAAAAGCUAAAAUUGUUUUACUCUCUUUUGCAUCUCUUUAUAUUAUUAAUAUUUUGACAAUUCAAUUGUUGAAUUUAAUAUUUUAUUCAUAUAAAUCAUUCAUGUCAAAUUUGAUAUAAAUUAAAAAUUAAACAAUUAGAUUGUUAAAAUAUUAAUCGUAUAGAGAGAUACAAAAGAGUGUAAAAAAACUUUCAUUUUAUAUUGAUGUAAGUGGAUUACUCUCCAUAUUUUUUUACACACUUAUAUAUAUAUACAAAUUUUACAUACUUUAUAAAAGAUGAUUUUGUAUGUUGAAUCUUCAACUGAUUAGUAUAAUUUAGUCAUGAUAUACCUCAACUAAUAAUAACUAGAUUAUGAUACACUAACGACGUAAGUGAAAAAAAUUAUAUAAUAAUUUAUUUAUAAAAAAUAUUGAUAUAAAAAAAAGAGUUGAUUGAAAUAGUAAAGUUAAGUAUUAGCUAUCAUGGUGCCUUUGUUCAAAUUUUAUUAUACUUAUUUUUUAAAAUUUUACAUGAAAUAUAAAAUGACAAAAAUACUCUCAUAAUAAUAUUUGUUCUUUUAUAAAAGUAAUGGAUUUUCAUAAUUUCUCAACUAUGUAAAGAUUGAGUUGAGGGGUGGCACCAACUCAAAUAGCCCUUUAAAAAAUAAUACUAAUUUACGAUACACCCAUUAUGUGAAUGGAAAAAAAAUAUGUAAUAAGCAUAUUUAUUUAAUGCUUAUAUAAGAAUCAAAUGAAUCAUUGGUUGAAAUGGUAAAGUUAAAGUCUAAAAUUUAUUGUGUGAAAAGUUCAAAUUUUACCAUGUUAAAUUUAUUAUGAAUUUUAUAUAAAAAUAUAAAAAAAUGAAAAUACCCUUAAAAUAAUAUAACUUAAUAUAUAUAUAAAAAUAUGUUAAUAAUUUUUUCAAUUAUGGUAUACCUAUAAGUAAAGAUAUAAUAAAAAAGUUUCCUAAAAUAAGGUUAAUUCAUACCUUUGCAUGACGUUAAAAAAACUCCAAUAUCCUUGUCGCACACACAUAAAUAAUUAGAGCUCAUCCUUGACCAACAAUAUUUACCCUCGAGUGUACAAGAAGCGCCCAAACUAUCAUUCAACUUGCACUCUCCAGAUAUUGGUGUGCCCCAUUGCAGUUGUGUUGGAACAUGCGUUAUAUUACUUAUAUUAAAGGUCAGAUCAUAGUCAUAAGAAACCAUGGAAGCAAAUCCGCAUGAUUUUUUCCUCCAAUAAUCACUAGAAUCAAACCUACUACUCAUGUUUACGUAGAAUGGACUGAGACCCCAAGGAAUAUUAACAAGACAACCAUCAAUAGAGGAAGCCUCGUUAUUAAUCCUACAACUUGGUUGCAAACAUCCUCCAAUAAGAUUAUCUAGUUUGCUGCUGAAAACAGUAACCAAAUUACCGCAACCUAAAGACCAGAAGGUGUUGUCUGAAUUUGAGUAGUAAAAGCGAGUGCCUGUUAAGUUGAGACUCGUCCCGUUGUGAUGGUUUUUCUGACAGUUGAAGUAAGUUAUUGGAUGGUUGACUUUGACUGUACCAUACAAAAAAUCAAUUUCUAGUAUUUGCAAAUUCAUGCCAUUUAUAUUUAAAAAAGGCACUUUUUGCCCAUGGUCGCUUUUGUUGCAAACUACUUUAAACCACUCUUUAAGAUCAACUUGGUCCUUCAUUGUAAAGGGAUAGUGAACAGUAACAUUCCCACAGGGCUCUACCUUGUAGGUGCGGAAGUUAAUAGAUCCCAGUCCUGGUCUUCCGCAUCCUGCGAGUUUAGCAAAAAAGGAGUAAAUUGCAAAAUUUACGAACAUCUAACGUAUAUAGGAAAUAAAAGCAAUGCGUUAUUCAAUAUAUAUAUAUAUAUAUAUAUAUAUAUAAAGAAGGUACUCUUUAACUAAUAUAUUUAACUAAAUUUUCUGUUAUUUGUGACAUUAAAUUCAAUAAAGACUUUCCUAUUGAAUUUGAUGUGAUACAAUAUUUCUAAUUAAAAUACUUGCAUUUCAAAAAAAAAAAUCAAUUCCACUUUCAUACCUAUCCUCUCUUUACGUAAUACUUUGUUAAUUUUAUUCUAAAAUAUUAAAUUCUUAAUUGAAUAUGAUACUUGUGCUAAUUUCUAAUUUAACUACUGAGUUCAAAUCUUUUUAUGGAACUAAUGAUUUCAUUUCAAGAACAAAUCAACUUAGGCUACAUUUAUUCACUCAAAAUAAUUUUCGAAAAAUAAUUUAUAUUUUUGGAAAAGUUAAUAUUUUCUAGUAUUUAGAUGAAUCUGUGUAAAAUAAUUUCUGAUAUUUAGAUUAAUCUUGUAAAAUAUUUUCUAUUAUUUAGUAGAUUUCUUAAAAAAAUUUCAUAAAAGUUGUUUUCAAUUAAACAAACAUAUAUUUGAGAUGUUUUUCAUUGUUUAAUUGAAUUUAUUUUUAUCUAGAAUUUUAUAUUUUACAUUUUUUUUGCAUAUAUUAAAAAUAUUAUAUUAAAUUUAGGUUCAUUACAACGUCAUUUUUUUAACUACAUGACUACCGAGUGAGUAUUUUUUAUUUAAAAAUGUGACAUCAAAUUUGACUUGAUUUUUAAAUUUGAAAAGUAAAAGGACUAAAUUCUUGAAAAUAAAAAUACAAAGACUAAAUUGAAAAUUUGUGAAGUGUGCAUAGACUUAUGACAUAUUUAACAUUAUACUACAAACAUUUAUUAUUAAUAUAUUUUAAUAUAAUAUUAUUUAUAUUAAAAUAUUAAUAUUGAAUAUUUUAAUAUAUGUGAAUAAUACUAUUUAAAUUUAUUUUUUUAAAAUUUAUUAUUAAAAUAAAUUAAACUAUUACAUCAUUUUUAUUUUAAUACCUUUAUUUAUUCUAUUAUUAUACUCUCUAUUUAUGACUAACAUCUCAUACUUAAAUCUGUCUGUUUACUCUAUGAAAACUAUCCUAUUUUAUAUUUUCCCUAUUUUUAAAAAAUAAAUUUAUUCUAAAUCUAAUACUAGCUUGAUUAGUUUAAUUUUUAUCUAAACAUAAAAUCUUCUCUAGAGCUCUUUUUUCGAAAGUGACUUACACUUUUCAACUGGUAUGUCUUUUACAGAAAAGAGCUUAUUUUAGUUGAUCUAUACGUUUUUUUCAUUGAUCAUGCUGUUUUAUGUGAAACAAACACAGGAAAAUGUAUAAAACAUUUUCCGUGAAACUUUUUACAUGUAAACAAACUGACCCUAGAUUUAAAACAGAAUCAUUAUAAACAAAAUUAUGUAAAUUAUGAAAUGAAUGGAAACAUAAUACAGAAAUAUUAAAAAUAUAUAUAUUAUGUUAUAACAGAAUAUAUAUAUAUACACAUAACCAACAUGAAGCCAACGAAAAAAAAUAUAAAAAUUACAAUUUUAACUCCUCUAAAAAAUAAUAAUUUAAUUUAAUUUAAUUUCAUCUCAUUUAAGUAUUAGUUCAGGUUUUUGAAUACAAAACUUUUAGGUAUAGCCAUUUUUUGUCCUAAAAAUCUUUUAGGUAUAAAUUUUUGAAAGCCAAAAUUAUUAAUAUACAAAAUGAAUGAUCCUAAAAACCUUUUUUAGAACUUAUAUGAUUCUAAAGGCUGGUUUUAAACAAUUAGCAAAAUCUAUAUAUUAACCGAAUUAAAAGAAGAAGAAUAAAAGCCAAGCAAUUGAAGUGACAGCGCGUGACUGACCUCCGUCACCGCAAUAGGUAGAAUUCCAGUUGAGCACGGCGGGAACAUGCGUAGUUCCAUUAUUGAUGCCAGUGGGUAAUGGGUAAGCACUACGGAAAGAGUACUUGCUAAAGAUGAAAGCAGAUGCGCAUCUUUUGCUGUCAGGAUACAUGGCUCUCAUGUUUACGGUAUAGGAAGUAAGAUUUGCAGUAAUUUGAGUAAAGCAGCCAGAUUCAGAAGCACCAUCGUCACACCUUGGUUGAAUGCAGCCGCCAAGUGAAACAGCUUCGUUACUUAAAAUAGUAGCCAAAUUUCCGCAACCUACUGACCCGAAAUAAUUCCUCGUACUUGAGAAGAAAAAGGGAGUGCCUAAGAGAUUGACCCUCCCACUAACCUCGUUUAUACGAUCACAAUUAAUGUAAGUAACUGGAUUGUUGAUGAGAAUGGCGUUUGAAUAUAAGGCUUUUCCAAGUACCUCCAGAUCGAUGCCAUUUACGUUUAUGAAAGGCUUGUCCCCACUGGGGGUUUGCUUGCAAGUUACGCGAAACGAAGGAUGAGUAUAGCAGGUGAUAUUGAUUAACCCAAAAGGGGAUGGAAUUGUAAUAUUUCCACAUACUUCUUUACGACAGGCAGGUUCUUGAGAUUCUGCUGCUUGUAAAAUUGAGCACAACAGGAAGAGGAAGAGGAGUAAGGGGAUGAAGUAAAGCGCUAAGUGAAAACCCAUUUGCGUUGUUAUUUUGUUUGAGGGAAAUGAAUGAAGAUUUAAAGAAACAAACGAUGUUUGAGGGAGAAGCAAAUGAAAAGUAUUUGCUCGCACUUUCCUUGAAGUUCCAGUAUAAGUGCAUUUGAUUUGAGAAUAAUUCAUUAAUUUGUAAAGACUGUUGGAUACAAUUUUCCAGCUACACGUAAGAGGUCUCCAUUCAAAGAGUAGGUUACAAAUAAAGAGUUAAGAGACAACUAAAAGGGAGAGUCGAGCCUUGACCCCUAAUUUGUUUUAUAUUCCUUCAAAUAUUUUUACAAUGGCAUUAAGAAAUAAGGAUAAUUUAUGUUCCUUCCUUCAAAACUUUUAAACAUUUCAAAUCAUAUUGUAAAAUAGAAAGCUUGAAAUUAUAGAUUAAAUAAAAUUAUUUUUAAAAUUUUAUUAGUUAAUAUUAAUUUAAUUAUAUUGAUAAGUGGAUGAAAGAAGUGAUAAAAAAACUUAAUUUAAACUAUACAUCAAAUGAAGAUAUAUGUGAUUAUAAUAAAUUUUAAUUAAUUUUGUACUUUAUUUUUGUAUAGAUAUAUUUAUAUUAAUUAUUAAGUUUAUUCAAUCCUAGUUGUCGAUAAAGCUAGAAGGGAGGAGAUAACAAAGAGUGAGCAGUAUCCUUAAUGAGUGAUAGUAAAGGUGAUUGUUCUUUACAACAACUUGAGAAGAAAUUCCGAGGAAUGUCACUUUUGAUGCUGGUCCUAUGAUUAGAGGUUUCACAUUUUUAUUUACAGCCAUUCAACAUAGUUAAUAUCGUAAGUCUAACAAUUAUUUAUGUUUUCGAUAUACAUGAGUAUUUUUAGACAUUUAAGUGAAAUACUAAAUAAAACUCUCAAGUCAAGUUAUAUUUUAUAAUGUUUUUCAAAAUUUUUAAUAAUUAUUAAUAUUUUAUUUUUUAUAUUUUUUUAUAAACUUGGGUAACUUUUACAUUUUUUAAAAAUAUUUUUAAUAAUUUAGUAUGUCACAUCAACAUGCUUUCACAUAGCAUACCAUAUGCUAACUUCUCAUGACUUCCGUAAAUCAUAUAAACAACGUAUAAUAUUCAAAGUAAUCAAGAAUUUUGAUUUUUUAUUGAGUGUUUUUUAACAUUUAAUUGUAUAUUAAUAUUUAUUACUUUAUUAAGAAUUGGUUUUUAUGUAACUGUCCUGACAAAAUUGGUAUUGAGCUCAAUAAAAUAUAUUAUAUAAGCUUAGAUAUAACUUCAUUAAAAUCUGCAAAGAGAGAAAACAUUAUCAAUUUGUUUCAAGUCCGUUUUUGAGCAUAUGAGAAAUUUUGUAGAUAGAAGUUGAAUACGAUUUUCUUUCUAGUGAAUUACAAGAAAAGGGUAGAGUUUUAAUAGCAACGCGACUUAAACUUAAACUACAUUUGGGGGAUGAAUACCUUAACCAUUAAAUUAAUAUAUGAAAUUUUAAUACGAUAUUUUGAAAUAAAGAGCCAACUCUUUGGAAAAUAAAUUUCCAAAAAUUUCCGAGUCAUAAUCUUUUGUGGAAUGGAAAAGUAUAUCCACAAAAUGAUCGAAAAGGCUUUGGGCCACAAUUAAAUCAACAUCUUUAAAUUGUUAUACCAAAUUAAAGAGGGAAUGGUCUUUGUCUUAAAUUCAACCUCUGAAAUUAUCAUAAUUUCAUAAAUUUUGUUUGCAAUUGUUUGGAAAUAAAAACAAGAAGGUGAUUGGCUCAUCUUGUUUUUGGUGAGAAAGUAAAAUAGCAGCCAACAUGCAUGCAUUUGUUUUGUGGAAACUAAAUUAAAACCAAGGAGGUAUCAUUAUCAAGAAAUAUGGACCAUAAGAAGAUUCAUUCCUUUUAUUAUAUAUUAUUCAUACUAACAACAUAGAAAUUUUCAUGAAAAAGUAAGUUCCAUGACAUCCACUGAAGCAAUGACAACAAUUGGCCCCUAUAACUGUCGAAACCCUUUUUUUUUAUUUUGAAAGCAAUGGGGAUCGACUUGUGAAAACAAAAAUGUGGAGUCGCCACCAAUCUCUCGAUUUAGGUGUGAUUGGACCACCUACUAAAACGCUUUAUUCGUGUAAAAUAAAAAAAGUGGGUUCGGGAGUCAGUUACGUAUGAGGAAGGGUUAGCACCCUCAUUACGCCCAAAAAUUGGUACCAAAUUGAUUUGAUGCUAUCCUUAUAUCAAAAGUUUUAAAAGAAAAGAUUUUCUCAAAAUACGAUUCUUUUUUUUUUAAAUGUUCGAAUAGUUUAAAUUAGUGGUCAAAAAUCCUUCGUUUCAAAGAUAUGCAGUUUCAUACCCAGUACGAUUAGAUGCGAUCCUUAUACCUUUAAAACGCAAUUGGUUUUCGACUUCUUUAAAAAACAUACAUUAAAAUUAUAAAAAGGUUAUCCAAAUAUUUGGUUCUCCGUAAAAGUCAUACCCAGUACGAUUGAGCAUGAUUUUCCGAAUUCCCCAAAUAUUAGAUAUCGCCUUAUUUCAGAAUAACGGAAAUUUAGAAAUUUGCUUAAACAUGUUUAUUGAAAAUAAUUAUGAUAAAAAAUACAAAGUUCAAAUCAAAUUAUGCAUGAAGUAUUUAAAACACAAAUUCAUUCAAAAAUUGAUAAUUCACAUGAUAACUUUAAAUAAUGUAUUAAAUAUGUAGGAAUGACAAUGCAUGAUAUAAAAUAAUAUAAUAAAUUUAUGAAACAUGUAUAUACAAGUAAAAUUAAGUAUAAUUGUUUGUAAAAAAAUGUAAGAAAGAAACAAAGUAAAUAUAUAAGGUAUAUGGGUAACAAAAGUUUCUAAAAAACAAGGUUAUAUACAAAACGUAAAAUUAUAUUUACACGUAAAUUUAGUAAUAUAUAUAUUAUUAAGAUUAUAUUUAUAAAGGGCAUUUGGAAACUAAUAAUAUAUAAUUUUACAUGUAACAAACUGAGUUAAAGUGAUGGAACAUAUAGAUAGUACAUACAUAAGGAUAAUAAAAUAAUUUAUACAAUAUAUAAAUCGUAUGAUAAAACAAAUGGUCUUUAGAAAGAAUAUAUUAUACAUAUAAAUGACUUUAAAGGAUAAUAUAUACAUUGAAAGAAAAAAUAUUUACAUAGAUUUACAUGAAAGUAAUAACAUGUACUAUGGUAAAAAUAAUUUAGCAUGGGUAAUGUACAAAUGAAGAAAUUUUAAUGACAAUUGUAUGUCCAAAAUAAUAUUGAAUAAAAUAUGAAUUAUAAGAUUAACUUAAUUUUAUCAUAACUUAUAUACAUAAUAAUUUUAAAAACAAUUUUAAAAACAUAAUUAUACAAAAAUAUAUAUAUGUAUAAGACUAUCUUGGUUUUAAUAAUGGAUGCAAAUUAAAUAUAAGUUCUAAAUAUAUGUUUAAUAAUAACUUAAAUAACACACAAAAUAUGAAGAAAUAAUAAUACAUGGCAAGGUAUUACACGCAUGAUAGAUUUUUUACAUUUAAAAACUUAUGUAUAAAAUAAACACAUGUGAAAUUAGAAAAUUAUAUGCAUAUCAUUUUGCUCAAAAAUACUUAAAAGAAAUAUUAAAUAACAUACUAGGAUAACAUAAUAAGGAGACAUAUUUCAAAAAUAACAAUUUUAUAAAUACCAAGAUGAAUUUUCAAAACACAUAAAGACAUGUAAAUUAAACAUAAGUUAAGAAAUACUUCAAGUAAUUUAGGUAUAUAAAUAUAUUAACAACACUUAUUAAUAAGAUAUUAAAACAAUGUAAUAUAAAAUGAAUUUUACAACAUGCAAAACAAUAGUUAUUAUAAAAAACUAAAAAAAGAAUGAUUAAUAUACAAAUAUAUGCGAAAUAUUUAAAGAAAUAAGAUACAUGAUGUAAACAAUCUAAAAUAAUUGUACAAAUGUACAAACAAAAUUAUUAACAUGGAUUAAAGCAUACAAAUAUUGAAUGUAUUCUAAAUUAACCGAUUAUACAAAUAUAAGACUCAAUUAAAACUGCAUCAAGAUAAGAAGGACAAUUUGUAAAUAAAAUGACCAUAAAAUAGAUCAAUGCAUAACAUGCAUAAAUAUAUAGGGACUAAUAUUGUAAAUCCUCCCAGGCCUGAAUCACAUCACUGUAUCAUGGAUUAAAAUGAAAAUGCGCUCAAAUCAGCGAGCCAAAUUGAAAAAGAAAAAAAAAACAAAGCAAAGCAAAAAGGAAGCAGUUGAAGCCCCAUGCGAAUGCAAAGGACUUAGCGCGCAAAUUAACCAUUUGAAGCACCAAAGUGUGGAUCCAGCCUAAUGGCACCGUUUUCAAUUCUGCACAAUCAAUUCUAAAAAACUAAAAUCCAAUAAAAAAAAACAAAGACCUAUUCCCUCUUUUAUUUGCCGUUUCAACUUCACAUAAUGCUCUCAAUUUGGGAGGUUCCUUUCAACCUUGAAAUCUCCUUUGAUUUGAUUUCAACAAAACAAAGAGAAGAAAGCAAUGGCCUCUUCACACGGUAAGUUUUUCUUCUUUUAUUUCUUUCUUUCGGUUUUUGAAUGUGAAAAAUAAACUAAAAAAUAAAUAAAUCGAAAAGAAAAUCAAGAAUCUCAAGAACUUUCAAUCACUUUUUAAUUUCAGUAACUUUUUUUAUUUUGGUAUGCAUGUGUAUUUCUGAAAAAAAAGAAGAAGAUCCCCCAUUUACAUCGUUUACAUUCGGUUUUAUAGCCAAAAAAUGAGUAAAUAAAAAUACAAAAAAUCCUUGCUGUAAUCUGUUAUUAUUUGCUGUCAUUUGCUGUUGUGGUUUUCGUUUGUUGCAGGUGUGCAUGGCGUGGAGGAGUUAUUUGCGGAACAUGGCACGAGUGGAAGAAUCAACUAAAGGCUGCGGUGGCUGAAGCUUCUAAGGUUUCUGUUGAAAAUUCCCUAGGUGUUUUGGACUUGGGGUAUUUUGGGUUAAAUAGGCUAGUUGGAUUAAGUUUAAUAAUUUGAACCCAUUAUUUUGGUUGCUGACUAUUAUUUAUAUAUUUUUUAGUUUUUUUUUUGUUUGUUUUGGUUUUGGUGUAAGCCCGGGCACAAAUUGAGUCUUACAAUAACAAUUGCAAAAACACCUUGACUCUUCUAGAAAUCCAUCAGUUUGGAAACUAGACCGUUUAUGCUACAACGAGAUAAACACUUUAGAAAUAUCUGCUCUCCAAAGUCAUCUUUGUUCAUCUUCAAUUUCGUCCUUAUAUAAACAAAACUCCAACAUAUAGAAAAAGAAAUGAUAACCCUUGAAAUCCUUAAUGUCCAAACCAUAUUUAUGCAUAAGAAAUUUGCAUAGGAGACGAGAAAAUGGAAUCUGAACUUAAUGGGCAAUUUCGUCACAGUCAAUCUAAAGUUUAACAAUUUAGGAUCUUUUUAUCCAUAUGGUGUUCCAGUUUUUCAAUAUGAAUUCGGUUCAAAGAAAAGGAAAUUACUUUAAAUUUGUAUAAUUAAUUUGGAUUUAAAAAUAUUUUUUAAUAAUUUGGUAUAUGCCACAUUAGUAUACUUUCACGUAAUUUCUUAUGAAUCUCACACAACACAUUAUAUGUUAAUUUCUCAUUAAUUUUGUAAACCAUGUUAACAAAUAAUAUUGUUCAAAUCACUCCAGAACAAUUCUAAAAAUGAAUUUAUUGAGAAUAUUGAAUUACAAGUCGGAACUUAAACACGUAUGAUUCAGUUUUAUCUAUGAUGCAACUCGAUUGAUUAGCCUUACAACUCGGGAAAUGUUUUAAAAAUGAUUGGAAUAUGUCCACCACUUGCUUAAAUUGAAUUAUUAUAUAACUUACCCAUUGCUUAGCAAAGGUUGCAUUGCCUACACUUUGGUUCAUCAUGUGCCCACCCCACCCAUUUUAGAUGUUCAUUUUACUAUUUACUUUGAAAAAGAAUCGUCAUCCCAUGUAUUUCUUGAUGAUGCAUAAAAAUAAUUCCUUAAAAUUUUACUAAUAUAUUUUAAAAAUAAUUCUUUUUGUAAAUAUUAUAAAUGUGAAAGGGUUUGAUACUCAUGUUUGAAGUCAUGUUAACUCAAUCACUUACUAAAACCAAAUUAAAACAAUUAAUUUUACAAGAGUGGCCAUAUGGCACUUUUUAAUUUCACUUCUAAAGUAUUUUCUUUCUAUAAUAAAAAAUGAAAAUGUGAGAUAAUAAAAUAAUAUCAUCUAGAUUUAAAUUAAACGUAACAAAUAUUUCACCCAUAAUAUAUAAAAGGUAUUUAUAUUGACCAGCAAAAUUAAAUUUCUUUAUUAAAAUAUUUUUAUCUAAAUUUUAGGUCUAAUUCGAACAAAAUUAAAUUUAAAUUGUACAAUAGAUGAAGAUACUUGUUAAUUUAAAUUAAUUAAUUUUUAAUUAAUCAAAUAGGUAUAUAGGUAUAUUUAUAUUAAUUGCCAAGUAUAUACAAUCUUGAUUGUGGAUAAAGCUAGAAGGUAGGAGAUAGCAAAGAGUGUUAGCCUCUUGCCCAAAAUAAAAGGCAUUAUCCCUAAUGAGUGAUAGCAAAGGUGAUUGUUCUUUGAGAAGAAAUUUUCAAGAAUGUCACUCUUGACCCUGUCCGAUGACAAGAGGUUCCACAUUUUUAUUUAUAGCCAUUCAACGUGUAAGGAGAACUAGUAUCACAAGUACAAGAAGAAAUUCCAUCACAACUGAACAAAAAAUUUCCAAGUAAUAUUCUUUUAUGGAAAGGUAUUCUCAAUAGAAAAAUAUAUCCACGAAAUGAUAGAAAAGGCUUUGGGCCACAACUAAAUCAACAUAUUUAAAAUGUUAUACCAAAUUAAAGAUGGAAUCGUCAUUGUCAAGACAUCAACAUCUUAUUACUUUAUACUCUAAAGGAAUUUUGUUAAUUAAUUACUACUUUAAUUAUGGAUAAUUUUGCUAAUUAUUUUUAAAUUAGUACUUAGUACCCCCUGCACCAUGUUCGGGGUGUUCUGUUUCUACGACUAAUGAUUUUCCAAUGAUUCUUGAAUGAAAAUUUUGAUUCAACGACAAAUUGCAAUUUCAGAUUAAAAUUAUAUAUAAAAAAAAAAAAAAUCCCCCAUCUGUUGCAACAUUGAACAGUGAAAUGGUUGCCUGAGAUUUUCUAUGUAAGCAAAGAAGCAAGAAAGAAAUUAGUAAGGCAGGUACUCAAGUAUAUAUCUUUAGCAAGAAAAACUAACAAAGGAAUUCUCCAAUUUGAUCCACUAUUGUGUUUUCUUUCUAUGGGAAGAACAUUAAUCAAUGUCCCCUGGUUCCAUGAAUUUUCUGCUUCUUUAAAAAUAAGAAGAAGAAAGAAAGAAAAACAUCAACUUUAGCCCUACAAUCAACUUGUAUAAAUUCGUUAGUCCUGAAACUAUGGCCUUAUUCUUAACCAUUUCCCUUAUUCUAGGGAUACUGCAGGCUACCAUCCUUCUAAUUUCCUUUGAUACAACUGUGUCAAUAGCAGAUCCAUCGCCAUUGGAGUCCAAAGCCAUAUCGCUGCUAGAAAGCGGGUGGUGGAGUAACCAUAGCAGCAAUACUUCACAACGUUGCCAGUGUCCUGCUAUAACCUGCAACACUGCUGAAAGCAUUACCAAAAUUGACUUAUCUGAUGCGCCCAACAUUGAGGUUGCAUAUAGAUUUGGGAACCAGAACCAGCAAAACAAAACAACAUUGAGGUUGCGCCCAACAUUGCUGAAUGAGCUACAAUUUUGUACUCCAUUUUGUUUUCCAUAUUGCAUCAGAAAUGUAAGAAUAACCAUAUAUGAACCGGAACCAUAAAUUUAAGGGGAAAUUUUAGAAAAAAAUCUGCUCUUCAAAUUCCUUUGGUCUAGCAAACAUUAGGUCCUUCUGCAACGUAAUGUUGGUAAAACAACCAAGAAAGAAGGCUCAGAGAAGAGUAAAUGACAGAAUAAAAAAUUCACUGUUUAUUUCUCAAUGAAAAAUAACAGAGUACAUGGUUUAAAUAGUGCUAGUGGUAACUAAAAAAAGCUAAAAAUUACGAACACUAACCCAUGAUCACAACCAAAUCAGAAUAAGAUUUUCUUAAUACCCACUAACUGAUAAAGAUAAAAACAUGUAUUAAUUAUAGCAGUAAAUAACAUUUUGAAUCAUUAUUUUUUCAACAGUGAAUGACAAAGUCAGUCGGCCAUGGUGUUGGUCCUCCUUUCCCUUUCUUGAUGUAAUUUUGUUGCAAUAUGUGGACACUUCGUUGGGACGAAAAACCAUAAUUUACUAAGGUGAGAGGAUAUGCAAUUUAACGUGAUUAAACUAUUAGUAAAUUUAUAUUUUGGUCAUUCAACUUAAAAAAAUUUAUAAAAUGAUUAUUGAGCUAUUCUAAAGUUUUAAUUUAAAUGGUUAAUAUUAGUAAAUUUAUAUCUUCAUUUAACUAAAUUGGGUUCAUUGACUCUCAUUAUAUCUCUUCAAAUCCACUAUAUGCUUAGAAAUUUCGAAGAAAGAUGAAAACAAUGUUAUGGACAAUUUCAUCGAAAUUGAGCCAAAGUUUUCCAAUUAAGAACCUUUGGUGGGAAAAUUGACAUUUGAAUAAUCAUCACAUACAAUCUUUAUUUACAAGGUGUUCCACAAUUGCAUAUAAUACAUUUCCAAUUUGGUCCAAAGAAAAAGGAGGAUACUUUAAAAGUGCGUAAUUUUGAAUUCAAAGCUUAAUAUAUGUAAUUUAUGCUUAAUACAUUCAAUAUUUAUGUGUGAAGUAAACUUAUCAAAUAUUAAAACAAUGUCUCAUUCAUCAAUUUGCAUAAAGAAAGCACUAAGCCAAACCAUUUAGAAAGGAGGGACUGAUGCUCAUGGCCUGAGUUUUAUUCUGGGUGUUUAAAACUCUUCAAUUGUCUUUAAUAAUUUCAUUCGUUUUGGUUUUUUAUUUUUAUACUAAGGUUAAGUUUGGCACUUAUUUUAAGUUUAUGAAUUUUAAAUAUUCUUUGAAAAAAUUUCAAAUUAUUUUUUAUAAAUAUUUUUAAAAUUAAAAAUAUUCAAUAACUUUUUUAAAUAUAUAUAAUUUUUAAGUUAUUUACAUUAUUUUAAAAAUAAAAUAUUAUUUUUUAUAUCAUAAAAAUUAAAUUAAUUAAUAUAAAUUAAAAGUAUAAAUCACUUUUUAACCCUUAAACUUAAUUGUUUUUCUUAAGUUGAUACCUAAUAUUUUUGGAUCUAAGUUGGGACUUGAACUUAUAUUUUAGGUUACAUUUUACUCAUUUUUAGUAUCAAUGUUAAAUUAUGUUGACAUACAUUGUGCCAUGUUAUCACUUUAAAAUUUAUUUAAAUUUUAAAAUAUUGAAAAAAAUUUAUUUAAAACUAUAAAAAAAUAUCAAUUUUUAUUAAAAAUUAUAAUAAAUCUAUUUGAAAAUCUUUUUAAUUAUUUUUCUUUUUUACUUAGAAUUUUUUAUUCCUUUAUAAUUAGUUAUACAACAAUUAUAACAAAUCUUCUAUAUUUUUUUGUUUUUUUUCCUUUUUACUCGAGAUUUUUUUUUUCCUUCAAAACUCUAAAAUGUUUCUUCCCUAUCUCUUUUCUUCGUCACCAUCCCGCUUGCCACCCCCAUCUGGCACCACCCCCAACCUAGAAAUGGCACAAAUUUGUUCUUCUCUUUCUCCUAACUUGUAUCAAAUCUUAGUUAAUUCAGAAGCUUCCUCAAAAAUCGCAAUUAUGAGCCAAUCGAUCAAAUUGCUUGAGUUUUGAGCAAUGAAGCACCGACACGGGAAAACCCCCUCGUACUAGUGUCGUAUUAGUAUCCGACUUGGACACACUGCCGACGCUGCCGGAUACGUAUCAGAUACACCUCGAUGCGUGUCAAAAAAGGGACAUUGCUGGAUUUUCUUUUGGCCUGAAUCAGAAACGAAAAAAAAAACAUAUACAAGGACAACUUUAGUAAACCAAUAAAAACGAAAACUUUAGCAUUUAAUUGUGAUAAUUUAUGGAACUUUUAACAUACUUGUCUUUUUUGGAGUCGUGGUAUAAUUUCUUAGACCUUCGUGUAUUCGCUUAUAUGAAGAUGAUGAUGAUGGAGACUUUGUAGAUAUGGUUUUGUAGAGAAGAAAGGCAAAGACAAAGGUAAAGGCAGUAAAUGAAGAAAAAAAAAGGGGUCAAUGAAGAAGAAAAGAAGGGGUAAAUGAGUGUAUGAAAAAAAAAUAGUUAAUGUACUUGUCUAGUUAUAAUGGGAUAAGAAAGUCCAAAAAAAAUUAAAGUAAUAUAAAAAUAGUGAAAGUAAAGUAUAAUAAAAAUAUGUGAGACCCAUUAUAAUAAGAAUAUAUAUAUAUAUAAUAUUUGUCUAGUUAAUGUAUUUAUUAGAUUAAAAAUAUUUUUUAAAAAAUUAAUUUUAAUUAUAAAUUAAUAAAUAUAUGUGUGGCUUAAAUUUAGAUUUGAUAUGACAUGUUUUGUGUAAUAAACUUGAAAAAUGUAUUACUAUGUUUUGUUAUAUUUUAUGUAAUGAUAAAAGAGUUUAAUGGAAAAGAAUUGAUUAUAUAUAGAGGCGAAGCGAGGGGGAUAGCAUAGGCCCCAGCCCCCUAAAAUAUAAAUUUACUCUUUUGGCCUUAAAAUUUUUUAAAAAUUUUAAAUUAGUAAAGUUAAAAUUACACUUUGUCUCCCCUAAAAUUAUAAAAAUUCGAUUUAAUCCUUUACAAAUUAUAAACAUAUAAACUAUAAAAUUAAAAUUUUAUCCGGCCCCCCUAAAUAUUUAUUCUGGCUUCGCCCUUGGUACUCACACCAACCAAAUCCAAUACCCAAUAGCAAACUAACAAAAUACCAAGCUCUUCGCUUGCUUCUUUGCAACUGAUUCUUGUGUGCUUAUAGGAUCUCCACUAGUUUGACGUUUCCUAUUUGGUGAUUUCAACUUCACUGAAGAGCUUGCAGUUAAUGUCCAACCUGACUGUGUUGUAAUUGACCUCAAUCCAGACUGAAAAUUGUAAAAUUAUAGCGAGGUAAGUAGUUAUAAAUUAGCAAAAAUUGAAAUAUUGCUAAACUAAAAACUUACAUAGAAUGUUUGCUCUCCAAUUUUCAUAUUUGUGUAGAGGCCUAACCCAGUGACAGACCACCUUCGAGUUUUCAUACUCAUGAAAUGCUUAGUUGUGGAAACUAACCUAACUUUUUUUGGUUGAUUCUUCCUCUCCAAUAAGCAAAAACAAAUUGACAUAUUGUUAGAUAAGCUUAUAUCUACUUAAUAUUAAAAAUAUAUAUAGAUUUGUAAAUUACCAAAAUAUUUGCCGCUUCAACUUGGGAAUUUUCUAGGUCAUUAAUACUCUACAGCAAAUAAAAAAUGGCAACAAGCGUCCACAAGUCAAUUUUAAAUGGCAGCAUAUGAAAUAAAAUAAAAUAAAAAAAAUCAUACUCAAAUCAACUUUAAAUUUUAGAUACAUGUUGCGGACAUCCUCGUUGGUUAUGAAAUUUGUUGAGACAAGAUGAAUACUGAGUGGCACUCGAUUAUGUUAACUGUAGAUUGUAAUUGAGGUGGUUAAAUAUUUGUUUUAUUUUAUUUUACAAUUUAAUGAAGAAAAUUUUUAGAAUUAAUGUAAUUUUUAUUGAAGAUAAUAUGAUUCAUUUGUAAUAGCUUAAAUUUUAGUGGUGUCAGAACAGUGAUUCGAGAUCACUAAAUCUGAAAAAUGAGUAGAAAAUAUUAAUAAUUUGGUGAAUAUAAGUUAAAUAUGAAGUUAGGAAAAAUUUUUGAAAUAGCGAAUAGUGUACUAGAAAUAAAUAUUACCAAGUGAAUGAAAGAAGUGAUAAAAAAAUUUAAUUUAAACUGUACAUCGAAUGAAGAUAUAUGUGAUUAUAAUCAAUUUUAAUUAAUUUUGUACUUUAUUUUUAUAUAGAUAUAUUUAUAUUAAUUAUUAAGUUUAUACAAUCCUAGUUGUCUAUAAAACUAGAAGGGAGGAGAUAACAAAGAGUGAGCACUAUCAUUAAUGAGUGAUAGCAAAGGUGAUUGUUCUUUACAACAACUUGAGAAGAAAUUCCGAGGAAUGUCACUUUUGAUGCUGGUCCUAUGAUUAGAGGUUUCACAUUUUUAUUUAUAGCCAUUCAACAUACAUGUCUAAGAAUUAUUUAUGUUACCGAUAUAUGUGGGGUUUUUUAGACAUUUAAAUUAAAUACUCAAUAAAACUCUCAAGUCAAGUUAUAUUUUAUAAUUUUUUUUAAUUUUUUAAUAAUCAUUAAUAUUUUAUUUUUAUAUUUUUUUAUAAACUUGAGUAAAUUUUACAUUUUUUUAAAAUAUUUUAAAUAAUUUGGCAUGUCACGUCAACAUGCUUUCACAUGGCAUACCAUAUGCCAACUUGUCAUGACUUCCAUAAAUCAUGUAAACAACGUAUAAUAUUCAAACUAAUUAAUCAAGAAUUUUGAUUUUUUUACUGAGUUUUUUUUACCAUUUAAUUGUAUAUUAAUAUUUAUUACUUUAUUAAGAAUUGGUUUUUAUGUAAUUUCCCUGACAAAAUUGGUAUUGAGCUCAAUAAAAUAUAUUAUACAAGUAUAGAUAUAACUUUAUUAAAAUCUGCAAAGAGAGAAAACAUUAUUAAUUUGUCUCAAGUCCCUUUUUGAGCAGAUGAGAAAUUUUGUAGAUAGAAGUUGAAUACGGUUUUCUUUUUAGUGAAUUACAAAAAGAGAGUAGAGUCUUAACAGUAAUGUGACUUAAACCUAGAAUCCAUUUGGGGUGAUGAAUACUUUAACCAUUAAACCAAUAUAUAGAAUUUGAAUACAAUAUUUUGAAGUAAAGGCAAACUCUUUGGAAAAUAAAAUUCCAAAAAUUUCCGAGUCAUAAUCUCUUGUGGAAUGGAAAAGUAUAUCCACAAAAUGAUCGAAAAGGCUCUGGGCCACAAUUAAAUCAACAUCUUUAAAUUGUUAUACCAAAAUAAAGAGGGAAUCGUAUUUGCCUUAAAUUAAACCUCUGAAAUUAUCAUAAUUUCAUAUAUUUUGUUUGCAAUUGUUUGGAAAUAAAAAAAAGAAGGUGAUUGGCUCAUCUUGUUUUUGGUGAGAAAGUAAAAUAGCAGCCAAUGCAUUUGUUUUGUGGAAAUUAAAUUAAAACCAAGGAAGUAUCAUUAUCAAGAAAUAUGGACCAUAAGAUUCAUUCCUUUUAUUAUAUAUUAUUCAUACUAACACCAUAGAAAUUUCCAUGAAAAAGUAAGUUCCAUGACAUCCAUUGAAGCAAUGACAACAAUUGGCACCUAUGAUAAUGCUCUAGAAUAACGUAUUUUUAUGUAUUAAUCAUGUGUUUAUUCUGAGCUUGAUCCUACUAAUUUGAGCUAUUUAUAUCUUUUUAUCUUUUAGGGACUGAUUUAGAGGCAAAAGAAAAAUUAAGGGACAAAAGUGCGAAUUUGGAGACAAAAUGGGCUGACAUGCAACACAGGAAAAAAAUUGUGUCAAAAGUGCGAGCAUGGAAGACACAAGGACUAAAAAUGCAAAAAGAAGAGAUUUUAUUUUAUAAGACUACAUUUUAUUUAUAUUAGGAUAAUUAAUAUUAAGAUAAUUAUUAGGAUUAUUUAAUUUUAGGAUUUUAUUUUAAUUAUCUUUAAUUAUCUUUAAUUAAAUGUAUUUAUCUUUUUAGAAUUUAAGUUAAAUUAGAUUAUCUCUCAAGCACUAUAAAUAGGGAGUGAAGUGACUCUAUUUGGUGUUCGUCUUUUUCUGUAAAUAUUCUCUCCCUGAAAGUCUAGGCUUUUGUUUCUUCAUAUUUUCUUUCAAUAAAAUUCCUUUUUCCAUUUUUAUAUUUAUUUUCUUUUCCACCAUUAUCAUGAACCACUAAAAUCUAUCUUGCCGAAAGUUGUCAAUAUUCGCCAAAAAGGGUUCUUGAGGCCUAGAAUCCGUACUUAGCCUUCUCGCCAAGUAUUCAUCGUUUCUCCGCACUACGGGCUGACGCUUCCGUCCAUGGCCCUUAAGAAGUAAGCUUUUCAGCAUAUGCAAAGGCGGCCGCUUUGUAUGUUUUGGAAGGAUUGCACAGUCGGUUCGUUAACUUAUUGCGUCAGAGGUUGGCGAGCCAAAGAGACAAAAUAGCGUGGGAUUCGCCAUUAAGAAGCGUUGAUCUAGCAUAAAUUACUGGCUAGAGUCAGGUUCCCUAAAAAUCGUAAGUCUAAUCUUUGGAGCUGGUGGUCGUAGGCGUCCUCUUCCACUAUAACUGGCUUACUUGAGUUGAGAAGGGUUACUUAAAAGCCAAGGAUUGAAUCCAAUGCAAAAUGAGACAAUCGGAGGCUGGAAUUUCGCCACAUAAGAAACUUUCUCUUUUCCCAACUCUAUUUAUUUUUCCUCAUUUCAAUUGCUGCAAUUCAUUUAAUUUCGCAAAUUCAAUUCACUUUAAAUUCUAUUUUUAUUUUUCCAGAUUCUUAAUUUUAUUUUUUUAUUUUUUAGGAACGCAGGUUUUCUUGGCCAAGAAAUUGUCCAGGAUUUCAAGAACGAGCAUUCGUACAAUCCGAUCCUUGAGGAUUCGACCCUACCUCCCCUUUACUAUUAUUUUUACUAUUUUACAUGGAAUAGGAUAUUUUUGGUGCUCUCAAUGAUACAUCAAAUUUUGGCACCGUUUUUGAAGCAAUGAUAACAAUUGGCACCUAUAACAAUUGCAAAAACACCUUGACUCCUCUAGAAAUCCAUCAGUUUGGAAACUAGAACGUUUAUGCUACAACCAGAUAAACAUUUUAGAAAUAUCUGCUCUCCAAAGUCAUCUUUGUUCAUCUUCAAUUUCGUCCUUGUAUAAACAAAACUCCAACAUAUAGAAAAAGAAAUGAUAACCCUUGAAAUCCUUAAUAUCCAAAUCAUAUUUAUGCAUAAGAAAUUUGCAUAGGAGACGAGAAAAUGGAAUCUGAACUUAAUGGGCAAUUUUGUCACAGUCAAGCUAAAGUUUAACAAUUUAGGAUCUUUUAUCUAUAUGGUGUUCCACUUUUAUGUAUAUUUCCUGGUUUUUCAAUAUGAAUUCGGUUCAAAGAAAAGGAAAUUACUUUAAAUUUGUAUAAUUAAUUUGGAUUCAAAAAUAUUUUUUAAUAAUUUGGUAUGCCACAUUAGUAUACGUUCACAUAACUUCUUAUGAAUCUCACAUACAUAUUAUAUGUCAAUUUCUCAAGAAUUUCGUAAACCAUGUUAACAAUUAAUAUUGUUCUGUAAAAAUAGAACGUCGAUUAUGACAAUAUAUAGUAAAGAAAAGAGAAAUAAAAAAAAUAAAGCACACAAAUUUUUACGUGGAAACUCUUUCAAGAAAAAACUACGGGCAGAGGAGAAGAAAAUUCACUAUGUCGAAUUCGAACAAUUACAAGAGGAAUAGACUAUGUCUAUUUAUAGGCUUGUAAAACCAUAUUCUAAUAGGAGUGUAGUAAGGUUGAAAUACCUUAUUCUAAUCAAUAUCAAAUAGAUGGAGUUUAAUAAGGUUUAAAAAACCUUAUUCUAGAAUAAAAUAAAAGAAGUGUAGUUCUAUAUGGAUUUUACUUUUAUUUUAUUUUACCAUUGUACUUUAUUUAAAUAACGAUUCGGGUCACUCAAUUCUAACAAUCUCCACCUUGACAUGAAUUUUCAAUAAACAAGUUCUUCAUUGCGAACUCUCAAUGAACAAGUUCUCCACCUCUUCCAUAAAACCCCUUAAGGGUUUAACUUCAACAAUGAACACCAACCAAGUCUAAACAAUGCUCAAACUUGGUUAUAGGAAGUGACUUAGUCAUCAUAUCUGCAGGAUUUUCAUGAGUACUAAUUUUGCUCACAACAAUAUCACCACGAGCAAUAAUUUCAUGAACAAAAUGAUACCAAACAUCAUUGUGUUUUGUUCUCUCAUGAAACAUUUGAUCUUUUGUAAGGAAGAUGGCACUCUGACUGUCACUAAAUAUUGUAUUGAUUUGAAGGUCUUUAUUGAGUUCACUAAAGAGUCCCUUCAACAAAUAGCUUCUUUACGAGACACAGUAAUCGCCAUGUACUCAACUUCAAUGGUAGACAAAGCAACUGUAGUUUGCAAAGUGGCUUUCCAACUAAUUGCACAACCUCCGAUUGUAAAGACAUAACCUGUGAGAGAUCUUCUAUCAAGGUCUCUAGUAAAAUCAGCAUCAACAUACCCAAUGACUCCAUCUCUAGUUCUUCCAAAUUGUAAGCAAACAUCAGUAGUACCUCGUAAGUAUCUUAAAAUCCAUUGAAUUGCUUUCCAAUGUUCUUUACCUAGAUUUGCCAUGUAUCUACUAACUGCAUUGACUGCAUAUGAUAAAUCUGGACAUGAACAAACCAUAGUAUACAUGAGAGAUCUCACUACACUAGAGUAUGAAACAUUUAACAUGUACUCAAUCUCAUCAUCUGAUUGUGGAGACAAAGCUGAUGAAAGUCUGAAAUGGGCUGCUAAAGGAGUACUAACAGGCUUAGCACUCUGUAUAUAGAACCUGCAAAGAACUUUUUCAAUGUACCCUUUUUGACUUAGGUACAAUUUACUUACUUUUCUAUCUCUGAGAAUCUCCAUACCAAGUAUCUUCUUUGCUGGUCCCAAAUCUUUCAUCUCAAAUUCUUCACUUAGUUGGGCUUUGACCUUCUUAUCUCAUCAACAUAAAGGAGUAGAUACACAAAAGAACCAUCACUAUUUUUCUUAAAGUAAACACAACAAUCAAAACUACUUCUUUUGAAAUCAUGAGAAGUCAUAAAGGAAUCAAACCUCUUGUACCACUGUCUUGGUGACUAUUUCAAACCGUAAAAGGGACUUUCUCAACAAGCAAACAUAGUCCUUUUUUUCUGAUACUGUAAAACCCUUUGGUUGUUGCAUGUAAACAUCCUUCUCAAGUUCUCCAUGCAAAAAUGCAAUUUUUACAUCUAACUACUCAAACUCCAAAUCAUGCACGGCCACAAUACCAAGCAAAGCUCAAAUCGAACUAUGCUUCACAAUUGGGGAGAACACAUCUGUGAAGUCCACUCUCAGAAUUUGACUAUAACCUUUUGCAACAAGUCUUGCUUUAUAUUUGGGUUCUUCAACUCAUGGAGUCUAUUCUUUCUUUUUAAACACCCAUUUACAACGAACAACCUUUUAACCUUUAGGAAGUUUCAAAAUAUCCCAUGUUUUAUUUUUAUGGAGUGAUUUCAUCUCCCAUUUCAUCUCCCAUUUCAUCCACUUUUCUGAGUCUUCACAGCUAACCGCCUCAGAAUAAUUAGAUGGCUAUUGGUUUACAUCUAUAUCUUCAGUCAAAUUUAAGUAUAAGUAACUAAAUCAGUCUCGGCAUACUUCUUUGGAGGUUUAAUUUCUCUUCUAGUUCUAUUUUUGGUGAUAGAGCAUUAUGGUAAAGAAGCAACUCUAUUCUGAAUUUUUGUAUUAGCUUGAGGAGUCAACUCUGUUGUAGAUUUUGGAUUAAUCUGAUGCUCCACCUACUUUUGAUUUUCUUUAUUAGAAGAGUUUUUGAGAGAUAAGUUAGGUAGCAUAGCAGUUUCAUAAAAAACAACAUCUAUGCUAAUCACAACUUUUCAAUUUUUAGGACACCAUAACUUAUACCUUUUACACCAGUUUUAUAACUAAGAAAAACACAUUUAAUGGAUCUCAGUUCCAAUUUUCCAUUAUCAACAUGAGCAUAUGCAAGACACCCAAAGAUCUUUGAAUCAGAAUAGUCAGCAGGAUUGCCAGACCAUAGCUCUUGUGGAGUCUUUUUCUCAAUGGAAACGGAUGAAGAUCGAUUGAUAAAAAAAUAUGUAGUAGAAGCUGCUUCGGGCCAAAACAACUUUGGUAAGUUGGCAUUUGACAACAUACAUUGAACUUUCUCCAUGAUCGUUCUGUUCAUUCAUUCUACAAUGCCGUUUUACUGUUGAGUAUGACGAACUGUCAAGUGCUCGCGAUCCCUUCUGACUUGCAUAGUUUAUAAAACUCAUCAGAAUAGAAAUCUAAGCCAUUUUCUGUACGGAAGUAUUUUAUUUGUUUUCCUAUAUGUUUUUUAGUCAUAGUUUUCCAAGACUUAAAUGCGAAAAAUGCAUCUCUUUUCUGCUUCAGGAAGAACGCCUAAACUUUUCUGGAAAAAUCAUCAAUAAAAGUUAGCAUAUAAUUAGCUCCACCUCUCAAAGGCACUCUGGAUGGUCCCUAUAGAUCAGAAUGAAUAUACUCCAACGUUCUUUUCGAGUUAUGGAUCACUCUAGUGAAUUGUACUCUCUUUUGCUUCCCAAAAAUGCAGUGCUCACAGAACUUUAGUUUGCAAAUUCCUUGCCCAUCAAGAAGUCCUCUUUUGCUCAAUUCUGUCAUGCCAUUCUCACUCAUAUGCCUUAGGCGCAUAUGAAAAAUUUUAGUAAUAUCAUCAUCUAAAAAGGAAGAGGAAGCGACAACUGCAUCACUAAUAACAGUAAAACCUUGCAAAACAUAUAACUUGACAGUCUUUCUUUGCCCUUUCAUCACAACGAGGGAACCCUUGGAAAUUUUCAAAACCCUACUUUUAGGUGUGCAUGUGUACCCUUUUAAAUCAAGAGUACUCAAUGAAAUUAAAUUUCUCUUUAAUUCUAGAACAUGUCGCACAUCACUAAGUGUUUUAACAACUCUGUCAAACAUCUUAACUUUAAUCGUUCCAACACUUGCAGUUUUACACGAAGCAUUAUUUCCCAUCAAAACAACACCUUCAGACAUUGUUUUGUAAGUUGUAAACCAAUCUCGAUUGGGACUCCUAUGGAAGGUGCAGCCCGAAUUAAGGAUCCACUCUUCGCUCACUUUAGAAUUGUUGACAGAAGCUACUAGAAGUUCACCAUCAUUGUAUUCUUCUACAACAUCAGCUUCAACGGAAUUUUUUGGUUGUUUUCCCUUUUCAUUUGCAGCCUUUCUUUUGAUCUUGUUCUGUAUCUUAUAGCACUCAGAUUUAGCAUGUCCUUUCUUCUUGCAGAAGUUACAAGUUUUACCUUUUUUUGAAGACUUCGAUCUACCCUUAGAUUUACCACGAGGAUUCCGUUCCUGUGUCCUUCCACAAUCAUUAUCAGCAUUCCGUUCUUGUCUCCCAUGAACAAUGAGAACCUUUCUGAGAGUUAAUUUUAACCAUAAGAUGCUUCAUCUUAUCAUACGAGGUUAAAGAACCAUAAACCUCAUCAACUGUGAAAGACUCGUGGCUAUAUAAAAUCGUGUCUCUAGAGGUUGAAUAAGAUGGAGGCAAUGAACAAAAUAGAAUCAACCCUAGAUCUUCCUUGUCAUACUGAACCUCCAUGGCCUCCAACAUUGAGAGAAUUUCUUUAAACACAGUUAAGUGUUCGUGCACAGAAACACCUUCCUCCAAACGAUGAGCAUAAAGACGCUGCUUUAUAUGCAACUUGCUGGUUAGAGUUUUCGACAUACAUAUUUGUUCCAACCUCUUCUAUAAUGCAGCGGUGGUCUUCUCCUUCAUCACAUCCUGCAAAUUUUUGCUAGACAAAUGCAGAUGUAAUUGUGUUAACGCCUUUCGAUCCUUACGCUUCUUCUCUUCAUUUGUUAAUGUCGAAGGCAUCUUAUCUAUCCCUAGCAGGGCAUCCUCCAAAUCCAUCUGCGCAAGAACUGCUUGCAUCUUAAUCUACCACAACGCAAAUCUGGUGUUGCGAUCCAACAGCGGAAUUUCAUACUUCAAAAACGUCAUUACCGUGAUCAAGAUGAAAAACCCAGAAGCUUUGAUACUAAUUUGUAAAAACAGAACAUCGGUAAUGACAAUAUAUCACGAAUAAAAGAGAAAUAAAAAAAUAAAGAACAUACAUAUUUUUAUGUGGAAACCCUUUCAGAAAAAACCAUGAGCAGAGGAGAAGAAAAUUCACUAUGUCGAAUUCGAAUAAUUACAAGAGGAGUAGACUAUGUCUAUUUAUAGGCUUGUAAAACCAUAUUCUAAUAAGAGUGUACUAAGAUUGAAAUACCUUAUUCUAAUUAAUAUCAAAUAGAUGGAGUUUAAUAAGGUUUAGAAAACCUUAUUCUACAAUAAAAUAAAAGAAGUGUAGUUCUAUAGGUAUUUUACUUUUAUUUUAUUUUACUAUUGUACUUUAUUUAAAUAAUGAUUCGGGUCACUCAAUUCUAACAUGUUCAAAUCACUCCAGAAUAAUUGCAAAAAUGAAUUUAUUGAGAAUAUUGAAUUACAAGUCGGAACCGUAAACUAUGAAAAAGUGAAUCGAAUACGUAUGACUUUGUUUUAUCUAUUGUGUAGCCUUACAACUCGGGCGAUGUUUUAAAAAUGAUUGGAAUAUGUCCGCCACCUGCUUAAAUUGAAUUAUUAUAUAACUUAUCCAUUGCUUAGCAAAGAUUGUAUUGGCUACCCUUUGGUUCAUCAUGUGCCCACCCGACCCAUUUUAGAUGUUCAUUUUACUAUUUACUUUGAAAAAGAAUAAUCAUCCCAUAUAUUUAUUAAUGUUUUGAAAGAAAAUUCUGUCUAUCCAAUUUAUUGAUGAUGCAUAAAAAUAAUUCCUUAAAAUUUUACUAAUAUAUUUUAAAAAUAAUUCUUUUUGAACAUUUAUAAAUGUGAAAGGGUAUGAUACUCAUGUUUGAAGUCAUGCUAACUCAAUCACUUACUAAAACGAAAUUAAAACAAUUAAUUUUACAAGAGUGGCCAUAUGGCACUUUUUAAUUUCACUUCUAAUAUAUAAAAGUGAUGUCUUUUCUUUCUAUAAUAAAAAAAUGAAAAUGUGAUAAUAAAAUAAUAUCAUCUAGACUUAAAUUAAACGUAACAAAUAUUUCACCCUUAAUAUAUAAAAGGUAUUUAUAUUGACCUGCAAAAUUAAAUUUCUUUAUUAAAAAUUUUUUAUCUAAAUUUUAGGUCUAAUUCGAACCAAAUUAAAUUUAAAUUGUACAAUAGAUGAAGAUACUUGUUAAUUUAAAUUAAUUUUUUUAAUCAAUCAAAUAGGUAUAUAGGUAUAUUUAUAUUAAUUGCUAAGUAUAUACAAUCUUGAUUGUGGAUAAAGCUAGAAGGUAGGAGAUAGCAAAGGGUGUUAGCCUCUUGCCCAAAAUAAAAGGCAUUAUCCCUAAUGAGUGAUAGCAAAGGUGAUUGUUCUUUGAGAAGAAAUUUUCAAGAAUGUCACUCUUGACCCUGUCCGAUGACAAGAGGUUCCACAUUUUUAUUUAUAGCCAUUCAACGUGUAAGGAGGAUUAGUAUCACAAGUACAAGAAGAAAUUCCAACACAACUGAACAAAAAAUUUCCAAGUAUUAUUCUUUUGUGGAAAGAUAUUCUCAAUAGAAAAAUAUAUCCACGAAAUGAUAGAAAAGGCUUUGGGCCACAACUAAAACAACAUAUUUAAAAUGUUAUACCAAAUUAAAGAUGGAAUCGUCAUUGUCAAGACAUCAACAUCUUAUUAUUUUAUACUCUAAAGGAAUUUUGUUAAUUAAUUACUACUCUAAUUAUGGAUAAUUUUGCUAAUUAUUUUUAAAUUAGUACUUAGUACCCCCUACACCAUGUUCGGGGUGUUCCGUUUCUACGACUAAUGAUUUUCCAAUGAUUCUUGAAUGAAAGUUUUGAUUUAACGACAAAUUGCAAUUUCAGAUUAAAAUUAUAUAUAAAAAAAAUCCCCCAUCUGUUGCAACAUUGAACAGUGAGAUGGUUGCCUGACAUUUUCUAUGUAUUAAAAGAAACAAGCAAGAAAUUAGCAAGGCAGGUACUCAAGUAUAUAUCUUUAGCAAGAAAAACUAACACAGGAAUUUCCAAUUUGAUCCACUAUUGUGUUUUCUUUCUAUGGAAGAACAUUAAUCAAUGUGCCCUGGUUACUUCCAUGAAUUUUCUGCUUCUUUAAAAAUAAGAACAAGAAAGAAAGAAAAACAUCAACUUUAGUCCUACAAUCAACUUGUAUAAAUUCGUUAGUCCUGAAACUAUGGCCUCAUCCUUAACCAUUUCCCUUAUUCUAGGGAUACUGCAGGCUACCAUCCUUCUAAUUUCCUUUGAUACAACUGUGUCAAUAGCAGAUCCAUCGCCAUUGGAGUCCAAAGCCAUAUCGCUGCUAGAAAGCGGGUGGUGGAGUAACCAUAGCAGCAAUACUUCACAACGUUGCCAGUGUCCUGCUAUAACCUGCAACACUGCUGAAAGCAUUACCAAAAUUAACUUAUCUGAUGGGCCCGAUAUUGAGGUUGCAUAUAGAUUUGGGAACCAGAACCAGCAAAACAAAACAACAUUGAGGUUGCGCCCAACAUUGUUGAAUGAGCUACAAUUUUGAACUCCAUUUUGUUUUCCAUAUUGCAUCAGAAAUGUAAGAAUAAUCAUAUAUGAACCAGAACCAUAAAUUUAAGGGGAAAUUUUAGAAAAAAAUCUGCUCUUCAAAUUCCUUUGGUCUAGCAAACAUUAGGUCCUUCUGCAACGUGAAUGACAAAGUCAGUCAGCCAUGGUGUCGGUCCUCCUUUCCCUUUCUUGAUGUAAUUUUGUUGCAAUAUGCGGACACUAGGUUGGGACGAAAAACCAUAAUUUAUUAAGGUGGGAGGAUUUGCAAUUCGUGAUUAAACUAUUGGUAAAUUUAUAUUUUGGUCAAUUAACUUUAAAAAAUUACAAAAUAAUUUUUAAACUAUUCUAAAGUUUUAAUUUAAAUAGUUAAUAUUAGUAAAUUUAUAUCUUCAUUUAAUUAAAUUGGGUUCACUGACUCUCAUUAUAUCUCUUCAAAUCCACUAUAUGCUUAGAAAUUUCGAAGAAAGAAGAAAAAAAUGUUAUGGACAAUUUCAGAGCCUAAGUUUUCCAAUUAAGAACCUUUCGUGGAAAAAUUGACAUUUGAAUAAUCAUCACAUACAAUCAUUAUUUACAAGGUGUUCCACAUUUGCAUAUAAUAUAUUUCCAAUUUGGUCCAAAGAAAAAGGAAGAUAUUUUAGAAGUGCGUAAUUUUGAAUUCAAAGCUUAAUAUAUGUAAUUUAUGCUUAAUACAUUCAAUAUUUAUGUGUGAAGUAAACUUAUCAAAUAUUAAAACAAUGUCUCAUUCAUCAAUUUGCAUAAAGAAAGCACUAAGCCAAACCAUUUAGAAAGGAGGGACUGAUGCUCAUGGCCUGAGUUUUAUUCUGGGUGUUUAAAACUCUUCAAUUGUCUUUAAUAAUUUCAUUCGUUUUGGUUUUUUAUUUUUAUACUAAGGUUAAGUUUGGCACUUAUUUUAAUUUUAUGAAUUUUAAAUAUUAUUUAACAAAAUUUCAAAUUAUUUUUUAUAAAUAUUUUUAAAAUAAAAAAUAUUCAAUAAUUUUUUUAAAUAUAUAUAAUUUUUAAGUUAUUUACAUUAUUUUAAAAAUAAAAUAUUAUUUUUUAUAUUAUAACAAUUAAAUUAAUUAAUAUAAAUUAAAAGUAUAAAUCACUUUUUAACCCUUAAACUUAGUUGUUUUUCUUAAGUUGAUACCUAAUGUUUUUGGAUCUAAGUUGGUACUUGAACUUAUAUUUUAGGUAACAUUUUACUCAUUUUUAGUAUCAAUAUUAAAUUAUGUUGACAUACAUUUUAAGAUUUGUGCCAUGUUAUCACUUUAAAAUUUAUUUAAAUUUAAAAAUAUUUAAAAAUAAAAAACAAUUAUUUAAAACUAUAAAAAAUUAUAAACUUUUAUUAAAAAUUAUAAUAAAUCUAUUUGAAAAUCUUUUUAAUUAAUUUUCUUUUUACUUAGGAUUUUUUAUUCCUUUAUAAUUAGUUAUACAACAAUUAUAACCAAUCUUCUAUAUUUUUGUUUUCUUUUUCUUUUUACUCGAGAUUUUAUUUAUUUAUUUUUCCUUCAAAACUCUAAAAUGCUUCUUCCCUAUUUCUUUUCUUCGUCACUAUCCCACUUGUCACUGCCAUCUGGCACCACCCCUAACCUAGAAAUGGCACAAAUUUGUUCUUCUCUUUCUCUUAAACUUUCCACUAGAGGAAAAUAGAUUUUUAAUGGCACUUUUUUUUUUGGCUCUAUAAGCAUCGCAAAAAACACCGUUAUAAAUAACUCAACUAAAUUUCGCAUCGUUUAUUUGGGAAAACGCCGCUAUAAAACAUUAUAUUUAACUUUUGGAAAAUAUUGACAUCACAUAUAUAAUAAGGGUAAUUACAUGUUAUUAUUUACUAUCAUAAUAGGUUAGCCUAAAUUAAAAGUGAUCUAAUUUGGUUAAAAUUUUAUUGGAUUUAAUUAUUAAAUAAAGUAUGGGUCAAAUAUGUGCAGAUACUCUAGUAAUUAAAUUCUAAUCAAAUUCUGAUUAAUGAUGAGCUAAUUAGAAUUUGAUUAGAACUAAUAUGCCAAUGUUAUAAAUAUUAGGGUUAUGGUCCCCAAAUUAUACGUAAGAUAUCUUUUCUAAUAUCCCAUCAUUAGGAAAGAGAGAGCAGAUAUUCUCUGAAUUUCUUGUGUGCUAAUUUGGAAGAUCAAAUCUCCAAGAUCUGGUAAAACUUCAAGAAAUUCAUGGAUUCAGGUAUGCUUCCUCAUCUAGUUUUGUUCUUAAUGAUAUGACAUGAUAGAUCCUAGUUUAUUAAAUUUUAUUUCAGAUUUAUUUUACAAAUCUAACAAGUGGUAACAGAGCCAGGUUAUGUUAAGUCAUUAGGAAUUGAUUAAAGUUUCUUAUUUAAACGAUUGAUUCAUAAAUUUUUAUGGGUUUUAUAUUUCAGAUAUAUAUUGAUCUUUGAAGGCUUAUAUUAAAGUAUUUCUUUUUUGAAUUUAAAAAAAAGUUAACAGUAAAUAGACAUAACUUAAUUCAUAUAUAUAUUGAUUAUAUACAUAUAUAAUAAAUGCAUGUUGUUUUGGAAAUUUAUAUAAAUAUAUAUAAUUAUCUUUUAAUUUGAUUGAAAGAUGAAAUUAAGGUAAAUAUUUUGAAACAAAUAAAUUCAGAUUUUGGCUCUUAAUUAAGGAUAUCUAAUAUUUUAAAUAAAUUAGUUGAAACAAAAUGCCGUCAAAAUGACUUUUUUUGUGUAGAUUAGUUUAUUUGAAAUAUUAAGAUAAUUAUAUGUUUUUGUGAUUCAUGCAUUUAUUAAUUGACCCAAAGGUAAGUUAAUAUUUGGCAGAAUUUCAAUGACAUCUGUGGUGAUAAAUGUGUGACAAUUAUAAGGUAUUUUAUGUGAGCAAUAAGUUAGUCCAAAGAUUAAUUCAUUGUUUAACAUAAUUUAUUGUCAAUAUUUGAUUGCUACAACAAGAGUACCGCUUACGGUUAAUAUUAUUGUCCAAAGACUUGAUAUUAAUGUUGUGUUUGGUAUCUUGAGAUGGGAUUAGCUGUUAUCUUGAAUUUAUUAUUUACUUAUGAAUAUUAAUUUAAACUUGUUUUUGUUCUAUAUUCAGCUAAUUCAUCUUUGGCUGUCACAAUAUCUGCUACUAUAAUUCUAUACCCAUGCUUGAUGGGACUAAUUUUAAGGAAUGGAAAAGGCACUUACUUAUAGUGCUUGGCUAUUUGGACAUAGACCUUACACUAAGGGAAGAACAACUUGCACCUCUCAUUGUGGAAAACACCCCUGAUGUUAAAAGGGAUUUUGAGAGGUGGGAUCGUUCAAAUCGCAUGAGUCUAAUGAUCAUGAAACACAGCAUUCCAGAAGCCUUUAGGGGCACAGAAUCUGAAGAGAUUACUUAGGCUAAGGGUUUCCUUGAUGAAAUUGAAAAAUGUUUUGCUAAAAACGAUAAGGUUGAGAUGACAUCACUUCUGGCUUCUUUGAUGUCUAUGAUGUAUAAAGGUCAAGGAAACGUAAGGGAGUACAUUAUGGAGAUGUUUCAUAUUGCUUCAAGACUUAAGGUACUUAAGAUCGAGCUUUUUUCCAAUUCUUAUGGUUUUGGCAUCGCUUCCUGCACAGUUUAAUCAAUUUAAAAUUAGUUAUAACUAUCAAAAGAAGAAAUAGACCCUAAAUGAGCUCAUUUCUCAUUGUGUGCAAGAGGAAGAAAGGUUGAAGCGUGGUAAGCCUGGACGUGCUCAUUUGGCCAAUGCCCCUGAAGAUAAGAGCGAGAAAAGAAAAUAUCAGAAUGAAUCUGCUAAGGGUCCAACUCAAAAGAAACAUCAACAAGCUACAGAGUUGUUUCUUUUGUAACAAGUCUGGACACGUAAAGAAAGAUUGUACCAAAUGUCAUGCUUGGCGUCAAAGAAAGGUAUAAUUCUUAAUUUGGUCUGUUCUGAUAUUAAUUUAGCUUCAGUACCUAGAAAGACUUAGUGAAUAGAUUCUAGUGCUACUACUCCAUAAGUGUUUCUAUGCAGGAUUGCCUGAGUUACCGAAAGCUAAGUGAUGGUGAAAGACACAUCUUUGUGGGCAAUGGAAAAUCGGUAAAAGUGGAAGUGAUUGGGCAUUUUAGAUUGUUAUUAGGAACUGGUUUUUAUUUGGAUUUAAAAAAACUUUUAUUGUACCGUCAUUUAGAUGGACUUUAGUUUCUGUUUCUUCAUUAGACAAAUUUGGAUAUUAUUGUUCAUUCGGAAACAAUCAAUUUAAUUUUUCUUUAAAUUCAAAUGUUAUUGGAACUGGUUAUUUAAAUACUUAUGACAACCUUUAUUUGCUAGAAGCAGUUACAUCCUAUAAUGAAACCUUGCAUGUGGAAUCACAUGGUAUUAAAUGCAAAUUAAAUAAAGAAAAUUCAGCAUCAUUAUGGCAUAGGCGCUUAGGUCAUAUUUCAAAAGUUAGAGUUGAACGUCUUAUGACUGAUGGUAUUUUAAAGUCCCUUAACUUCACAGAAUUUGAUGUCUGUGUCAAUUGCAUUAAGGGGAAACAGACCAAAACCAAGAGAUUGGGUGCCAACAGAUCUUCAGACAUCUGAUAAUGCUCUAAAAUAACGUAUUUUUAUGUAUUAAUCAUGUGUUUAUUCUGAGCUUGAUCCUACUAAUUUGAGCUAUUUAUGUCUUUUUAUCUUUUAGGGAUUGAUUUGGAGGCAAAAGCAAAAUUAAGGGACAAAAGUACGAAUUUAGAGACACAAUGGGCUGAUAUGCGACACAAGAAAAAGAUUGUGCCAAAAGUGCGAGCAUGGAAGACACAAGGACUAAAACGCAAAAAGAAGAGAUUUUAUUUUAUAAGACUCUAUUUUAUUUAUAUUAGGAUAAUUAAUAUUAGGAUAAUUAUUAGGAUUAUAUAAAUUUUAGGAUUUUAUUUUAAUUAUCUUUAUUUAUCUUUAAUUAAUUGUAUUUAUCUUUUUAGAAUUUAAGUUCAAUUAGACUAUCUCCCUAGCACUAUAAAUAAGGGGUGAAGUCACUCUAUUUGGGGUGCUCAUCUUUUUCUGUAAACACUCUCCCCUUGAUAGUCUAGGUUUUUGUUUCUUCAUAUUUUCUUUCAAUAAAAUUCCCUUAUCCAUUUUUAUAUUUAUUUUCUUUUCCACCAUUAUCAUGAGCCACUAAAACCUAUCUAGCUGAAAGUUGUCAAUAUUCCCCAAAAAGGGUUCUUGAGGCCUAGAACCCGCACUUAGCCUCCUCGCUAAGUAUUCAUCGUUUCUCUGCACUAUGGGCUGACGCUUCCGUCCAUGCCCCUUAAGAAGUAAGCUUUUCAGCAUAUGCAAAGGCGGCCGCUUUGUAUGUUUUGGAAGGAUUGCAUAGUCGGUUCAUUAACUUACUGCGUCAGAGGUUGGCGAGCCAAAGAGUCAAAAUGGCGUGGGAUUCGCCAUUGAAAAGCAUUGAUCUAGCAUAGAUUACUAGCUAAAGUUAGGUUCUCUAAAAAUCGUAAGUCUAAUCUUUGGAGCUGGUGGUCAUAGGCGUCCUUUUCCACUAUAACUGGCUUACUUGAGUUGAGAAGGGUUACUUAAAAGCCAAGGAUUGAACCCAAGGCGGAACGAGACAACCGGAGGCUGGAAUCUCGCCACAUAAGAAACUUUCUCUUUUCCCAACUCUAUUUAUUUUUCCUCAUUUCAAUUUCUGCAAUUUAUUUUCUCAAAUCCAAUUCACUUUAAAUUCUGUUUUUAUUUUCCCAAAUUCUUAAUUUUAUUUUUUUAUUUUUCAGGAACGCAGGUUUUCUUAGCCAAGAAAUUAUCGAAGAUUACAAGAAACGAGCAUUCGUACAAUCCGAUCCCUGAGGAUUCGACCCUACUUCCUAUUUACUGUUAUUUUUACUAUUUUACAGGAAAUAGGAUAUUUUUGGUGCUCUAAACGACGCAUCAAAUUUUGGCACCGUUGCCGGGGAUCGGUAACGUACUAAUCUUGUUUUUUUUUUGUUUCUUAUGACCAGAUCUGCUCCAGGAACUCUUGCGUUUGAUUCAGAGAUUGAAAAGACUGCGAGAGCUAAUUUCAAGGAAACAAAGCUAAGGAAAAAGCAGUCAGCGGUGGUUGGAACUCAAAGCAAUCCACCGCCAGAAAUCAUAAUCGACGACGAAGCAGAGUCUAGGGUUAACGAAAACCCUAAUCAAACUUUUGAAGGUGAAAAAGUAGAAGUCGAUUCCCCAGAAGAAGUGCUUAACGCUAGGGUUGACGUAAACCCUAAUUUAGCACCUCAACCUAUGGCUUAGACAAUUCGGCAACUGGCCGAAGCGUCGAUAGCAAUUGCCACUAUGCAUCGCAUAUCCUAUUAUGGAUACUGAUUUUGAAUUAAAGUCAGGCUUGAUCCAGCUACUGCCAACCUUUCGGGGUUAUAGAACGAAAAUCCCCACAAGCAUUUAAAAGAAUUCCAUAUGGUUUGUUUGCGUAUGAAACCUCAGAGGGUAACUGAGGAUCAAGUUAAACUACGUUGUCCCUUUUUCCUUAGCAAAUUCUGCUAGGGAAUGGUUAUUUUAUUUACCUCCUGGAUCUGUAAUGACUUGGGCUGAUCUGUCUCGUUUAUUUCUCAACAAGUUUUUUCCAGCGUCGCAUGCAGCCGAGUUAAGAAGAGAAAUCAUAGGCAUAAGGCAAAAAGACACGGAGUCUCUGUAUGACUACUGGGAGUGAUUUAAAAAGUUAUGUGCAAGUUGCCCACAAUACAGUGUAACGGAACAGUCUUUACUCCAAUACUUUUAUGAAGGCCUAAAACCCAUGAAGAUGAAUAUGGUAGAUGCCGCUACUAGAGGAUUGUUGGUCAACAUGACUCCACAACAAGCAAGAGACUUGAUCUCCACAAUGGCUGCAAAUACUCAGCAAUUUCGAGCCAAUCAUGAACCCCCUAGAAGGGUUCACCAGCUAAGUAAUUCGACCUUAGAAGAUAAGGUUGAUAGAAUUACUAAUAUUCUGAAUUCUCUUGUUGCAGAAAAAGUAAAGACAGCCCGAGUAUGUGGAAUAUGUGCUACCCCUGAACAUACAACUGAUGCAUAUCCCAGUUUGAAUGAUGAUACUAUGGCCCAUUUAGAUGCUAUAGGAUAUUUUCCUAGGCCACCACAAAGGCGAUACGACCCUUACGCCAAUACCUACAACCCAGGAUGGAGGGACCACCCUAACUUUAGUUAUGGGGCUAAUCCACAAUAUAACCAGCCAUACCAAAAUGGGGUCCCACAACAGCCAUAAGAUUCAGGUAAUUCUCUGGAAACUUUGGUCAAAAAUUACCAGCUAAUGUCAUUGAUUUUCAAUAGAAAACUCUUAAUUUCCAAAAAGAAACGAAGGCAUCUAUAAGAGAAUUGACCACGUUAAUUGAGAAAUUAAGUUCUCAAGGGAAGCUACCGUCGUAAACAGAACUAAACUCGAGACAGAAUACAAAUGCAAUUACGUUGCGAAGUGGAAAGGUGCUGGAACCAAUUCCUAGCAAGAAUCUUGGUCAAGAAAUCACCUAGGAAACUCUAGAAAAUGACGAACAGAUCUGAGCGAAACUCCCACUGCCGAAAAUCCAACCUCCAUUCCCAGGAUGAUUAAAUCAGUGUCGAAAAAAUAAGGAAGACAAGGAGAUACUCGAAACAUUCAGAAAUGUCGAGAUCAACAUGCCACUGUUGGAUGCCAUCAGACAAAUUUCAAGGUAUGCCAAAUUCCUUAAAGAGAUCUGCACCAAAAACGAAAGUUAACAAGCAAUAAAAAGGUAAGUGUUGAUGAAAAUGUUUCCGCAGUGCUACAGCGAAAAAUGCCGGUUAAAUGCAAAGAUAGGGGUAUGUUCACUAUUCUAUGCAAAAUUGGUCAUUUAGGAAUUAAAAAGGCUAUGUGCGAUUUAGGGGCGUCCAUAAAUGUAAUGCCUUAUUUUAUUUAUGAAUCACUUAACGCGGGUUUUUUAACAAAGACAGGUGUUACCAUUCAGUUGGCAGACAGGUCCAUUGUGCAUCCCGAAGGGGUCCUCGAGGACGUAUUAGUCAAACUACAAAUUUUUAUGUGAUAAAAAUGGAGGAGGAUAACACUCCUGGGUCUUUAGACAUCUUGUUGGGAUGACCUUUCCUUAGUACUGCGAAUACUAAGAUUGAUGUACGAAGCAGAACCCUCACGAUAGAGUUUGAUGGGGAGAUCGUGAAGUUUAAUGUUUAUGGCACUAUUAGUCACCCAAGUGAAGUCUUGGAUGUAAACCGUGUCGACAUAAUUGACUCAUCAGUAGAACAAACUUUUGAGUCAUCUUAUGGAGAUAAACCUAAAAUGAUGUUUGAUGAUUUUGAAUCUGUUAAUAAAUUAUUAGCUCCCAUGAAUACUAAACUUCUACCUCCUGUUGUGCAGGCACCAGAUCUAAAAUUAAAACCACUUCCCGAGCAUCUCAAAUGCACAUUUUUGGAGAAUGAUGAGACCAUUGCUGACUUAAAAGGGAUCAACCCCUUGGUGGAAAAUACGAAACCAAAGAAAGAGGCGGAAGGACGAUUAAACCCAAAUAUGGUGGACGUGUUAAAAAAUGAGAAUUUCCAAGCUCAUAAGAAUGAAAGAAUUCAGCUGGAACAGCCACAAUACUAGUUGGGGCGUCAAGCUAGCGACGUUAAACAAGCGCUUGUUGGGAGGCAACCCAAUUUUUUAUUUUUAUUUUAUUUAUUUUAUCUUAUUAUUUAUUAUUUUCAGAUAUUAAUAAAAUUCUCUUCUUUUGUCUAGGUAAACCGAAGCAACAAUAGGGAGAACUUAUUACCAUAAUGCGCGAAUGAUAGUAACUACACGGGGAGUUCUUCUAAACUUUUCUUCUACCUAUUUAUUUAUUUAUUCCACAUCGAGGACUAUGUGGUUUAAAUAGGGGGAGGCAUUCCUUAUUAUUUCUAUCAUUUUAGAUGCUAAAUCUUUGUUGUUGUUGCUGCUGAUUCGGUUGUUGCUGCCCAUAUAAUUUUUUUUAAGAAUAUUUUGCCUCUUUUCAUGCCCAAGAAUUUGACCACCACUUGCCCACUGUUUGACCCACAUGCAUGAUUCUUAUCUACUGAGUUAAUUAUGAUUUUGCUUGAUAGAUUUCAUCUCCACUGUUUUAUUUCUUUUAGUUUAAAUAACUAUGAUUAAUAGAGUUAACCCUAUCUUGAUUUUGGUAAAUUUGAUUAAGUCUAAAUACGAAGAGGACACUUAAUUGCAUGCUUAAAAUAUGUUCAUGACUAUUAAGGUAGUUACCGAAACUUGUUUUUGACACUUGAUUGUUUUUCCUAAGUCCUCCAAAAUUAAAAUUUGAUUUAAUAAUAAUAAUGUUUCCGUGGUUAUGAGUGCAGCUUAAGACGUGACUAGCUGAGUAACCGGGGUAGGGUGCUUGGGUUGUCAUCCUAUUUCGCGUCAAAAGGUUGUGUGACGUGUUAGGUAAAAUUCCGCUAACCGGAAUUAAUUUCUAAGAGUAACCAGGGUGGGUGCUUGGGUUGUCAUGUCUCUUCGCGUCAAAAGGUAUAGUAUAUUCCUAAGUAAAAAUAAAUAAAUUAAAUUAAAAUUCUAUAACAAAAAGAAAAAAAGAAAAAAAAAGUCAUAUUAAUAAAAUGUGAGGACUAAAGGUAAAAUUGAAUAGGGUGUCUUGAUAGGUUUGGUAAAUUAUCUAAUUUUCAUGAAAUAAUCCAAGUCGAUCUUAAUUUUGUUUGUGUUAAUUAGAACACUUUUUCAAAUUUUACUUAAAUCAAGCUAAGGGUUCUCUUUAUUUUUCGUAUGCAUUUUGACUAAUUUUUAUAAAACUUUGGAGUAGAAUUUCUUUCAUGGCAGGAUUUAAUUUUCACAGUGGAUAGGAACCAUACUUGAGGGUAAGCAUGGACUAAAUAGGGGGAAUUUGAUAAUGCUCUAGAAUAACGUAUUUUUAUGUAUUAAUCAUGCGUUUAUUCUGAGCUUGAUCCUACUAAUUUGAGCUAUUUAUGUCUUUAUAUCUUUUAGGGACUGAUUUGGAGGCAAAAGCAAAAUUAAGGGACAAAAGUACAAAUUUAGAGACACAAUGGGCUGAUAUGCAACACAGGAAAAAGUUUGUGCUAAAAGUGCGAGCAUGGAAGACACAAGGACUAAAAAUGCAAAAAGAAGAGAUUUUAUUUUAUAAGACUCCAUUUUAUUUAUAUUAGGAUAAUUAAUAUUAAGAUAAUUAUUAGGAUUAUUUAAAUUUUAGGAUUUUAUUUUAAUUAUCUUUAUUUAUAUUUAAUUAAUUGUAUUUAUCUUUUUAGAAUUUAAGUUCAAUUAGACUAUCUCCCUAGCACUAUAAAUAGGGGGUGAAGUGACUCUAUUUGGGGUGUUCAUCUUUUUUUGUAAACACUCUCCCCCUGAAAGUCUAGGCUUUUGUUUCUUCAUAUUUUCUUUCAAUAAAAUUCCCUUUUCCAUUUUUAUAUUUUUUUUCUUUUCCACCAUUAUCAUGAGCCACUAAAACCUAUCUAGCCGAAAGUUGUCAAUAUUCCCCAAAAAGGGUUCUUAAGGCCUAGAACCCGCACUUAGCCUCCUCGCCAAGUAUUCAUCGUUUCUCUGCACUAUGGGCUGACGCUUCCGUCCAUGCCCCUUAAGAAGUAAGCUUUUCAGCAUAUGCAAAGGCGGCCGCUUUGUAUGUUUUGGAAGGAUUGCAUAGUCGGUUUGUUAACUUACUGCGUCAGAGGUUGGCGAGCCAAAGAGACAAAACGGCGUGGGAUUCGCCAUUGAGAAGCGUUGAUCUAGCAUAAAUUACUAGGUAGAGUAAGGUUCCCUAAAAAUCGUAAGUCUAAUCUUUGGAGCUGGUGGUCGUAGGCGUCCUCUUCCACUAUAACUAGCUUACUUGAGUUGAGAAGGGUUACUUAAAAGCCAAGGAUUGAAUCCAAUGCAAAAUGAGACAAUCAGAGGCUGUAAUUUCGCCUCAUAAGAAACUUUCUCUUUUCCCAACUCUAUUUAUUUUUCCUCAUUUCAAUUGCUGCAGUUCAUUUAAUUUCGCAAAUUCAAUUCACUUUAAAUUUUGUUUUUAUUUUUCCAAAUUCUUAAUUUUAUUUUUUUAUUUUUUAGGAACGCAGGUUUUCUUCACCAAGAAAUUGUCCAGGAUUACAAGAAACGAGCAUUCGUACAAUCCGAUCCCUAAGUAUUCGACCCUACUUCCCCUUUACUGUUAUUUUUACUAUUUUACAGGGAAUAGGAUAUUUUUGGUGCUCUUAACGACGUAUCAAUAUCUUAGAAUUAAUUCAUACAGAUAUUUGUGGGCCAUUUCCUACGGCAUCCUGGAAUGGUCUACAAUAUUUCAUAACAUUCAUAGAUGAUUACUCAUGUUAUGGGUACCUAUAUCUCAUUAAUGAGAAAUCUCAGUCUUUGGGCAUGUUCAAAACUUAUAAAGCUGAAGUUGAGAAUCAACUCAACAAAAGGAUUAAAAAGUCAAAUCUGAUCCUGGUGGUGAGUACUACGGUAGAUUUGAUGGCUCAGGUGAACAAUGUUCAGGACCAUUUGCGAAAUUCCUAGAGGAAUAUGGUAUUGUCCCAUAACACAUCAUGCCAGGAUCACCUAGUAUGAAUGGUGUAGCUGAAAGAUGAAAUAGAACUCUUAAGGAUAUGGUAAGGAGCAUGAUUACUCAUUCUACCUUACUUGAGUCCCUCUGGGGAGAAGCAUUAAAGACAACAACUUACAUUCUGAAUAGAGUACCCAAUAAAGCAGUUGCAAAAACACCUUAUGAGCUUUGGACAGGUCAAAAGCCUAGUUUAAAGCACUUUCACAUUUGGGGAUGUCCAGUUGAGGCAAGGCCUUAUAGGUCACAUGAAAAGAAAUUGGACUCCAAAACAGUAAGUAACUACUUUAUUGGUUAUUCUGAACGAUCUAGGGGCUAUAAAUUUUAUGAUCCCAUAAUAAGGAAUAUUUUUGAGAUGGGAACUGCACAUUUUUAAUGAUGUUGAGUUUGGAGGGAGAAAUAAGGUUAGAGACAUUACUUUUGAGGAUGAAUUGGAUUCUAACUAAAUUCCUACUAUCACUUUUGAUGAUGUUUAGGUUCUUAUACCUAUCAUUGAUUAGGAAGUGAAUCCAGAACCUCUACAAGACAAUGUUGAACAACUCUCAAUUCAAAAUGAGAUAAUUUUUCUAGAAGAACAAACUCAACAACCUCAAGAACAAGUGUCAUUAAGGAGGUCCACAAGAGAAAGGAGAAAUGCUAUUCCAGAUGAUUAUAUUGUAUUUCUCCAAGAACAUGAGGAUGAUAAUGGAAUGAUGGAAGAUGAUCCAAUCAACUUUCAUCAAGACAUAAAAAGUUCUAAUUCUUAAAAGUGGAUUGAUGCCAUGAAAGAUGAGUAUAAAUCUAUGCAACAGAAUAAAGUUUGGGAACUUGCCCCAUUACCUGAAAGUGCAAAACCAAUUGGUUUUAAAUGGAUAUUUAAAACCAAGAGGGAUGCAAAUGGUAAUAUGGAGAGGUAUAAGGCGCGUCCUAUAGCUAAAGGAUAUACUCAAAAAGAAGGUAGUUAUUUUACAGAGACUUUCUCUCCAGUUUCAUCGAAAGACUCCUUCAGGAUAAUCAUGACGCUUGUUGCUCAUUUUGAUCUUCAGUUACAUUAGAUGGAUGUCAAGACUGCGUUUCUUAAUGAUGAUAUUGAAAAAACAAUUUAUAUGGUGCAACCAAAAAAUUUUGAGUCGGAAGACUCAAAGAAUAUGGUUUACAAAUUGACAAAAUCUAUCUAUGGACUCAAACAAGCUUCUCGUCAAUGGUAACACAAGUUUCAUCAAAUAAUUAUUUCGUUUGGUUUUGAGAUGAAUAUUGUUGAUGAUUGUGUGUAUAACAAAUUCAAUGGGAGUAAGUACAUAUUUCUGGUUCUAUAUGUUGAUGACAUUUUGCUUACCGCUAAUGAUAUAGGCUUAUUAGACGAAAAUAAUAGAUUUUUAUCUAAGCAUUUUGAGAUGAAAUAUCUUGGGGAUGCCUCUUUUGUUUUAGGAAUUUAGAUACAUCAAGAUUGACCUCGAGGUAUUCUUGGAUUAUCACAAAAUAGCUAUAUCGAUAAAGUACUCAAAAGGUUUGGCAUGCAGAGUUAUAGACCAGGUGACACCCCUAUCGUUAAAGGAGACAAAUUUAGUCUUACUCAAUGCCCUAAAAGUAACCUUGAAAUUCAAGAAAUGCAAAAGAUUCCCUAUGCGUCAGCUUUUGGGAGUUUAAUAUAUGUUCAAGUUUGUACACGUCCGGACAUUGCGUACAUUGUUGGGAUGUUAGGCAAAUAUUUAAGCAACCCUAGUAUAGACCAUUGGAAAGCAGCCUAAAGGGUUAUGAGAUAUCUUCAGAGAAUAAAAGAUUACAUGCUUACUUAUAAGAGAUCAGAUCUUUUAGAGGUCAUAGGGUAUUCUGAUUCUAAUUUUUCUGGAUGCAAAGAUAGUAGAAACUCUACAUCAGGCUAUAUUUACAUGUUAGCUAAAGGAGCUAUAUAUUAGAAAAGUGUCAAACAGACACUUGUAGCUUCGUCCACUAUGGCAGUAGAGUUUGUAACAUGCUAUGAGGCAUCAAACCAUGGAAUAUGGUUGCAGAACUUUGUUAUAGGGCUGCGCAUUUUGAAAAAUGUAGAAAGACCACUCAAAUUAUUUUGUGACAAUUAGUUAGCAGUGCUAUAUUCCAAUAACAAUAGGAGUUCAUCUAAGUCAAGGCAUAUUGACAUAAAAUUCUUAGUUGUAAAAGAAAGAGUGCAAAAUAGUCAAAUAUCCAUAGAGCACAUUGGGACAAACUCCAUGAUAACGGAUCUGCUCACAAAAGGUUUACCACCCAAUGUCUUUCAUGAGCACACUGCUCAUAUAGGUGUUACAUUGUUUGGGGAUAUCAUGAUUUUGUGGGAGUUUAUAUUUUAUUUGUUUUAUAUUUGUUUUUAGACAUUUAUGUAUUUGGUUAUUUUCUGGUCAGAAAUAAAGUAUUUAGUUUAUUCAUUAUGUUUAUUAUUUUGGUACUGACCUCACUUAAGUUUAAAAAGGACCAGUUGGAAAUAGACAUGUUUAUAUCAUAUUGCAUGUAAUUUCCAUGCUACACAUCCAUACUUGGUCUAUGUCAUUUGGUUGUGUUAAUAUACGUGAUCAUGGAUGGAUUUAGUUACGAUAUAUGUAAAAUCGCCUUGGUUCUAUGUUAACAUAAUUAAUGGACAAGAUUGUUUGGAAUACCUUUUGGAUAUGAUAGUUAAAUUUUGAGCUCAUAAGGUUAUAUAAUGACAUAUAAUUAUAGAGUAAUUAGUAUUUAUAUAUGGUCCAAGUGGGAGAUUGUUGGAAAAUAUGGACAUCACAUAUAUAAUAAGGGUAAUUACAUGUUAUUAUUUACUAUCAUAAUAGGUUAGCCCAAAUUAAAAGUGAUCUAAUUUGGUUAAAAUUUUAUCGGGCUUUAAUUAUUAAAUAAAGUAUGGGUCAAAUAUGUGUAGAUACUCUAGUAAUUGAAUUCUAAUCAAAUUUUGAUUAAUGAUGGGCUAAUUAGAAUUUGAUUAGAACUAAUAUGCCAAGGUUAUAAAUAUUAGGGUUAUGGUCCCCAAAUUAUACACAAGAUAUCUUUUCUAAUAUUCCAUCAUUAGUAAAGAGAGAGCAAAUAUUCUCUAAAUUUCUUGUGUGCUAAUUUGGAAGAUCAAAUCCCCAAGAUCUGGUAAAACUUUAAGAAAUUCAUGGAUUCAGGUACAUUUCCACAUCAAGUUUUAUUCUUGAUUUGUUCUUAAUUUAUUCCUGAUGGUUUGACAUGAUAGAUCCUGGUUUAUUAAGUUUUAUUUAAGAUUUAUUUUACAAAUCUAACAUUAGCAGCGCUUAUCAUAAAAAUGCCACUAAAGGUCAUGUUCUUUAGCUGCGUUUAUGUGUAAAGCACCACUAAAGGUCAUGUUCUAUAGCGGCAUUUGUGUGUAAAACGCCACUAAAGGUCAUGUUCUAUAGCGGCGUUUGUGGGAAAUCACCAUUAACUUUAACAGAUUUUACUAAAUUGUUUUAAUUCAUAUAGAACCCGAAUUUUCAACAUAAUUUCUUGUAACAUCAAAUCCAACCAAAAAAAUUCAAAUCUAAAUGAUUCUAUCAUGAAAGAAAUAUGUAUAUGAACUAAAUUAAUAAAUGAAAUAACAAAAUAUAUUUUAUUCGAAAGUUAUAUUGUUAAGAUAUUCUCACAAUAAGAAAACAAAAUUCUAAGAUGCGAAUUUUGCGACUGCUGAAACAUCUUCAUCAUAUUCUGAAGCUGUAGCUGAUGUUCAUCAUAUUUUCUUUGAGCCUCUAUUUGUUUCAAUGAUACCUCCUCUUUAAGUUGAGCAAUUUGCUCAACUGUGCUCGCUUGCAUCUGAGCCAUCUGGUCUCUUAACCUCUGAACUUCAGCUUGAGCCUGAUUGCUGAAGGCGUGUAUUGUUGCGAGCUGGAUUCAAAAUAUUGGGUUGGGCUAACAAAAGAUCCUUAAAAUCAAACCUGACCAUACCUUUUAGGACCCAAAAAUUCAGUAAUAAUUCAGUUAUCAAUGUUGUCCAGAUUAACAGAACUAUCACUUGAAGCGAUCGCUUCAUACUCCACCCUUUUAUCCUUUAGUUUCUCCUAAUAUCAAUGAAGGAGCUAGAAACAAAAUAUAUAAUCAAACAAAUGCAACAUAACUUGGCAUUAUUUGCAUUACAAACGACGAAUUUAACGAUAACUUUUUUUUCAUAUUAGGUAGCCCUUCAUUUUAUAUGAACAAUGAGAGAACUUUAUUGCACCAUCAUUUGUUUUGAUAUUGAACUUUUACAAAUUUAACGAUAAAUAAUUAUUAUUGCUUCAUGCAUUUAAAAGUAAAUAUAUCACUAAUUAAAUUUUCAUAAUCCUAUAACCAUAAUGAAUCUACUUUUUUUAAAAAAAGGUAUAAAUUUAACAUGUACCUAUAAUAAUGCUUGCCAGGAUACUACUACUAAUCUUUUGAGUCUGCAUUUUAUGCUCGCAAUGGAAUCCUGUACUACUGUAUUCAUAAUGAAGAGGACAAGACUCUGAUGAGCAAUAGUUGCUAGGUAUAUUCAAACAAAGCAUGCAGCAAUUUUGAUAAUUCUCACAGUUCCCAUCUGUCAUUUAUGAAAUGAAUAAAAAAAAGCUUAUAAUCAUAUUAUUCGGUUAAAGUAUCUAAGAGGUCCUUAUACUAUAUGGAUCGGAUCAAAUUAGCCCUUCUAUUAUUAAACGGAUCAAUUUAGUACUUAUACUAUUAAAAAUAAUCAAAUAAGUUUAAAUUAUAAAAGCAUUAACAUUUACAGUAUAAAAAAUGUCUUGAAUUAUUUUCAAAAUAAAUUCUAUUUCAAAAAUAAAAUAUUUCAUUUAUAGAACUAUAAAAACUUUAAAUAUAAUUAACUCUAUUAAAUAGUAAGUGUUAAUUAGAUAUUUUAAUAAUGUAAUUUAAAUUAUGUAAUUUAAUUUGUUAAAUAAAAAAUAUUUUAAUAUUUUUUCUAAGAUAAUAUAUAUAUCAGAAAAAAAGUUCCCUAAGAAAAUGCUAAUUCGUACCUUUGCAUAACGUCGAAUAAACGUGAAUAUCCCUAUCGCGCACACAAAGAUGAUUAGGGCUCAACCUCGACCAACAAUAUUCACCAUCAGAUCUACAAGAAGUGUCCAAACUAUCGUUUAAAUGGCAUUCUCCAAAUAUUAGUGUGCCCCAUUGCAAUUGUGUUGGGACAUACGUCCUACUACUUAUAUCAGAAUCUUCUAAAUUAUAGUCAUCAGAAAUCAAGGAAGCAAAUCCGCAUGAUCUUUUCUUCUUACUCAUGAUUACGUAGAGUGAACUAAUACCCUGAGGAAAAUAAGCAAGACAACUAGCAACAUAGGAAUUCUCGUUAUUAAUCCUAAAACUUGGUUGCAAACAUCCGCCUAUAAAAUUAACUGUUUCAUUGCUGAAAAUGUGAAAAUAAAAUAAAAUAAAAUAAAAAUAAAAAUAAAAUAAAGAACACAGAUUUUUACGUGGAAACCCUUUCGGGAAAAAAACCAUGGGCAGAGGAGAAGAAAAUUCACUAUGUCAAAUUCGAAUUAAUUACAAGAGGAAUAGACUAUGUCUAUUUAUAGGCUUAUAAAGCCAUAUUCUAGUAAGACUGAAACACCUUAUUCUAAUCAAUAUCAAAUAGAUUGAAUUUAAUAAGGUUUAAAAAACCCUAUUCUAAAAUAAAAUAAAAGAAGUGUAAUUCUAUAUGGAUUCUUCUUUUAUUUUAUUUUACCACUGUAUUUUAUUUAAAUAAGGAUUCGGGUCACUUAAUUCUAACAAUCUCCACCUUGACACGAAUUCUCAAUGAACAAGUUCUUCAUUGCGAACUCUCAACGAACAAGUUCUUCAUCUCUUCCAUAAAACCCCUUAAGGGUUUAACUUUAACAAUGAACACUAACCAAGUCUAAGCAAUGCUCAAACUUGGUUAUAGGAAGUGACUUAGUCAUCAUAUCUGCAGGAUUUUCAUGAGUACUAAUUUUGCUCACAACUAUAUCACCACGAGCAAUAAUAUCACGAACAAAAUGAUACCGAACAUCAAUGUGUUUUGUUCUCUCAUGAAACAUUUGAUCUUUUGUAAGAAUGAUGGCACUCAGACUGUCACAAAAUACUGCGCUGAUUUGAAGGUCUUCAUUGAGUUCGCUAAAGAGUCUCUUCAACCAAAUAGCUUCUUUACAAGCCUCAGUAAUCGCCAUAUACUCAGCUUCAGUGGUAGAAAAAACGACUGUAGUUUGCAAAGUGGCUUUCCAACUAAUUGCACAACCUCCGAUUGUAAAGACAUAACCUGUGAGAGAUCUUCUUCUAUCAAGGUCUCCAGCAAAAUCAGCAUCAACAUACCCAAUGACUCCAUCUCUAGUUCUUCCAAACUGUAAUCAAACAUCAGUAGUACCUAGUAAGUAUCUUAAAAUCCACUGAACUAUUUUCCAAUGUUCUUUACCGGGAUUCGCCAUGUAUCUGCUAACUGCACUGACUGCAUAUGAUAAAUCUGGACAUGAACAAACCAUAGCAUACAUGAGAGAUCUCACUGCACUAGAGUAUGAAACAUUUGACAUGUACAUAAUCUCAUCAUCUGAUUGUGGAGACAAAGCUGAUGAAAGUCUGAAAUGGGCUGCUAAAGGAGUACUAACAGGCUUAGCACUCUGCAUAUAGAACCUGCAAAGAACUUUCUCAAUGUACCCUUUCUCACUUAGGUACAAUUUACUUGCUUUUCUAUCUCUGAGAAUCUCCAUACCAAGUAUCUUCUUUACUGGUCCCAAAUCUUUCAUCUCAAAUUCUUCACUUAGUUGGGCUUUAACCUUUCUUAUCUCUCAUUUAUCUUUUGCUGCUAUCAACAUGUCAUCAACAUAAAGAAUUAGAUACACGAAAGAACCAUCACUAUUUUUCUUAAAGUAAACACAACUGUCAAAACUACUUCUUUUGAAAUUAUGAGAAGUCAUAAAGGAAUCAAACCUCUUGUACCACUGCCUUGGCGACUAUUUCAAACCGUAAAGGGAAUUUUUCAGCAAACAAACAUAGUUCUCUUUUUCAGAGACUGUAAAACCCUCUGGUUUUUGCAUGUAAAUAUCUUCCUCAAGUUCUCCAUGCAAAAAUACAGAUUUUACAUCUAACAGGUCAAGCUCCAAAUCAUACAUGGCCACAACACCAAGCAAAACUUGAAUCGAACUAUGCUUCACAACUGGGGAGAACACAUCUGUUAAGUCCACUCCUGGAAUUUGACUAUAACCCUUUGCAACAAGCCUUGCUUUAUAUCUGGGUUCUUCAACUCCUGGAGUCCCUUAUUUCUUUUUAAACACCCAUUUACAACAAACAACCUUUUUACCCUUAGGAAGUUUUACAAGAUCCCAUGUUCUAUUUUUGUGGAGUGAUUCCAUCUCCUCUUGCAUAGCAAACAUCCACUUUUCUGAGUCUUCACAACUAAUCGCCUCAGAAUAAUUAGAUGGUUCUUGAUUCCCAUAUAUAUCUUCAGCCACAUUUAAAGCAUAAGUAACUAGAUCAGCCUCGGCAUAUUUCUUUGGAGGUUUAAUUUCUCUUCUAGUUCUGUUUUUAGUGAUAGAGUAUUGCGGUGAUGAAGCAACUCUAUUCUCAAUUUUUGUACUGGCUUGAGGAGUCAACUCUGUAUUAAUCUGAUACUCCACCUACUUUUGAUUUUCUUUAUUUGAAAAGUUGGUAGCAUAGCAAUUUCGUCAAAAACAACAUCUCUGCUAAUCACAACUUUUCUAUUUUCCGGACACUAUAACUUAUACCCUUUUACACCAGCUUUAUAACCAAGAAAAACGCAUUUAAUGGAUAUCGGUUCCAAUUUUCCAUUAUCAACACGAGCAUAUGCAGGACACCUAAAGAUCUUUAAAUCAGAAUAAUUAGCAGGAUUACCAGACCAUACCUCUUGUGGAGUCUUUUUCUCAAUGGCAAAGGAUGGAGAUCGAUUGAUCAAAAAACAUGCAGUAGAGGCUGCUUCUGCCCAAAACGACUUUGGUUAGUUGGCAUCUGACAACAUACAUCGAACCUUCUCCAUGAUCAUUCUGUUCAUUCGUUCUGCAACACCGUUUUUGCUGUGGAGUAUGACGAACUGUCAAGUGUCUCACGAUCCCUUCUGACUUACACAAUCUAUUAAACUCAUCAGAAUAGAAUUCUAAACUAUUGUCUGUGCGGAGGUAUUUUAUUUGUUUUCCCGUCUAUUUUUCAAUCAUAAUUUUUCAAGACUUAAAUGCGAAAAACACAUCGCUUUUCUGCUUCAGGAAGAACGCCCAAAAUUUUCUAGAAAAAUCAUCAAUAAAGGUUAGCAUUUAAUUAGCUCCACCUCUCGAAGGCACUCUAGAUGGCCCCUACAGAUCAGAAUGAAUAUAGUCUAACGUUCCUUUCGUGUUAUGGAUUCUUCUGGUGAAUCGAACUCUUUUUUGCUUCCCAAAAACACAAUACUCACAGAAAUUUAGUUUGCAAAUUCCUUGCCCAUCAAAAAGACUUCUUUUGCUCAAUUCUACCAUGCCAUUCUUACUCAUAUGCCCUAGGCGCAUAUGCCAAAGUUUAGUAAUAUCAUCAUCUAUCAAGGAAGAGGAAGCGACAACUGCAUCACCAAUAAUAGUAGAACCCUGCAAAAUAUAUAACUUGGAAGUCUUUCUUUGCCCUUUCAUCACAACAAGGGAACCUUUGGAAAUCUUUAAAACCCCACUUUCAGUUGUGUAUCUGUACCCUUUUGAAUUAAAGAGUACUCAACAAAAUAAAAUUUCUCUUCAAUUCUGGAACAUGUCGCAUGUCACUAAGUGUUCUGACGACUCAAUCAAACAUCUUAACUUUAAUUGUUCCAACAUCUGUGAUUUUACACGAAGUAUUAUUUCCCAUCAAAACAACUUCUUCAAACAUUGUUUCGUAAGUUGUAAACCAAUCCCGAUUGGGACUCAUGUGGAAGGUGCAACCUGAAUCAAGUAUCUACUCUUCGCUUACUUUAGAAUCAUUGACAGAAGCGACUAGAAGUUCACCAUUGCUGUAGGCUUCUACAACAUCAGCUUCACCAAAAUUUUCUAGUUGUUUUCCUUUUUGAUUCAUAGCCUCCAUUUUAAUUUUGUUCUGUAGCUUAUAGUACUCAAAUUUAAUGUGCCAUUUCUUCUUGCAGAAGUUACAAGUUUUACCUCUGUUUGAAGACUUCGAUCUACCCUUAGAUUUACUACGGGGAUUCCGUUCCUGUGUCCUACCACGAUCAUCAUUAGCAUUCCAAUCUUGUCUCCCAUGAACAAUGUGACUCUCUCCCUAAGAGUCGGGUUUAACCACAAGAUGCUUUAUCUUAUCAUACAAGGUCAAAGAAUCAUAAACCUCAUCAACUGUGAGAGACUCGCGACUAUAUAAAAUCGUGUCUCUAAAGGUUGAAUAAGACGGGGGCAAUGAACAAAGUAGAAUCAACCCUAGAUCUUCCUUAUCAUACUGAACCUCCAUGGCCUCCAACUUUGAGAGGAUUUCUUUAAAGACUGUUAAGUGUUCGUGUACAGACGCACCUUCCUCCAAACGAUGAGCAUAAAGACGUUGCUUCAUAUGCAACUUGCUUGUUAUAGUUUUUGACAUACAUAUUUGUUCUAGCCUCUUCCAUAAUGCGGCGACAGUCUUCUCUUUCAUCACAUCCUGCAGAAUUUCGUUGGACAGAUGUAGAUGUAAUUGUGUUAACGCCUUUUGAUCCUUACACUUCUUCUCUUCAUCUGUUAAUGUCGAAGGCAUCUUAUCUAUCCCUAGCAGGGCAUCCUCUAGAUCCAUCUACGCAAGAACUGCUUGCAUCUUAAUCUACCACAAUGCAAAUCUGGUGUUGCAAUCCAACAGCGGAAUUUCAUACUUCAAAGAUGCCAUUACCGUGAUUGAGAUUAAUAACUUAGAAGCUCUGAUACCAAUUUGUGAAAAUAAAAUAAAAUAAAGAACACACAGAUUUUUACGCGGAAACCCUUUCGGGAAAAAAACCAUGGGCAGAGGAGAAGAAAAUUUACUAUGUCGAAUUCGAGUUAAUUACAAGAGGAAUAGACUAUGUCUAUUUAUAGGCUUGUAAAGCCAUAUUCUAGUAAGACUGAAACACCUUAUUCUAAUCAAUUAGAUGGAAUUUAAUAAGGUUUAGAAAACCUUAUUCUAACAUAAAAUAAAAGAAGUGUAAUUCUAUAUAGAUUCUUCUUUUAUUUUAUGUUACCACUGUAUUUUAUUUAAAUAAGGAUUCGGGUCACUUAAUUCUAACAGAAAAUAGUAACCAAAUUACCGCAACCUGAAGACCAAAAACUAUUAUUAGAAUCUGAGUAGGAAAAGCGGGUGCCAGUUAGGUUGAGACUCAUCCCAUUGUGAUGGUCUUUUUGACAGUUGAAGUAAGUUAUUGGAUGAUUGACCUUAACAGUGCCACCCAAAAAGUUAAACUCCAAUAUUUUCAGAUUUGUGUCAUUUAUGUUUAAGAGCGGCACUUUUUCCCCAUUGGCGGUUGUGUUGCAAAUUACUUCAAACCAGUCGUCAUUGGCAUAAUCUUGAUCCUUCAUUCUAAAGGGGUAGUGAAAAGUAACAUUCCCAUGGGAUCCUACCUUGUAGGUGUUGAAGUUGAUAUGUUCUAGUCCCGGUCUUCUGCAUCCUGCAGAUUUAGCAAAAAAAGGAGUAAAUUACAAAAUCUACUAAAUAUAUGUACAUUAAAUUAAGGGUGUGCAAAACUCAAUUCUAUUUGGAAAAAUAAAAAAAAUUCAAAUUUCAAAUUAAUUGAAAAGUUAUUCAAAUUAUUCAAGUCAACUCGAAUAAGUAAUUCAAGUUUUAAGUUCAAAUUGAGUUGAAUUUUACAAUUAGAAUAAUUCGAAUAACAGAUUGGUGUAAGUACCCUUUUGGUCCCUAUCAAGUUUGAAAAUGAAUAAAUUAGUCCGUCUCUCAACAAAAAUUACAAAAUAGUUUUUAAAAAUUCUAAAAUUCAUAUUUUUUAAAAAAUUCUAAAAAAUUCUAAAAAUAUAUAAAGAAAGUUAAAAUUUUAAAAUUUUCUAGAAUAAUAAUUUUGGGAUCCUAAAUAAGUUAAUUAAUUACUCAAAUUUAUCAUACUAAAGUAUUUUUUAUUUUACUUUGAAAAGUUUUCAAAUAUAUAUGGUUUCAUAUUUAUGUGCUCUAAUAUGGAAUUAGUUAUACUGUAACAAAAUUUUAAUUUGACAUGUUUAAUUUUUUAAUUCAACUCGAAAACUUUCACUCGAUUCGACUUACUUAAAUUUUAUUUCACUCGACAAAAUUCAAAAAAAUUUCGAAUUGAGUUAAGAUGAUAAAAUGAGACUCACCAACUCGAUUAACUCGAAAUUUUUUCACUUGAUUUGAUUAAACACUCAUCCCUACAUCCAAUGCUUGUAAGAAAUAAAAGUAAUGUGUUAUUCAAAAUAUAUAUAUAUAUCUAAAAAGAAGUUAUAUAUGAAAAGUGUUACUCUUAACUAAAUUUUUAAUUAAAUUUGUGUGUUAUUUGUGAUAUUAAAUUCAAUAAAGACUUUUUUAUUAAAAAAAUUAUGGUUGAAUUUAUGUCAUACAAUAUUUUUAAUUAAAAAUACUUUCCUUUUAAAAAAAAUCAGUUCCACUUAAAAAGAAAUAGAUAUUUCUUUUUCACAUUCCCUUUUAAAUUAUGAUUUGAAUUUUUUUUAAGUAACUAAUGAUUCCAUUUUCAAAACUAAUGAACUUAGAUUUAAAACAGUAAAUAUGAUUGAUUGUAAUUGUGAUUUGUGAGCACCAUAGACCCUCUAUCUAUAUUCACUCAAAAGGAUACUAAUUUGUUUUUUUUGAGGACUUUGUACACACUCUAUGUUGCGAAUAGUAGAAAUAGUGUCCCAAUAGUAGUGUUGAAUACAUUAACCAUUAAAUCAACACAUGGAGUUUGAAUACGAUAUUUUGAAGUAAAGGCCAACUCUUUGGAAAAUAAAUUUCCCAAAAUUUCUGAGUCAUAAUAUUUUGUGGAAUGGAAAGUAUAUCCACAAAAUGAUCUAAAUCAACAUCUUUAAAUUGUUAUACCAAAUUAAUGAGGGAAUCGUCUUUGUCUUAAAUUAAACCUCUGAAAUUAGCAUAAUUUCAUAAAUUUUCUUUGCAAUUGUUUGGAAAUAAAAACAACCAAUUGAUUAGCUCAUCUUAUAUUCUGUGAGAAAGUAAAAUAGCAGCCAACAUGCAUGCAUUUGUUCUGUGGAAAUUAAAUUAAAACCAAAGGAGGUAUCACUAUCAAGAAAGAUGAACCAUAAGAAGACUCAUUCCUUUUACUAUUUAUUAUUCAUACUAACAAAAUAGAAAUUUCCAUUAAAAAGUAAGUUCCAUAACAUCCACUGAAACAAUGACAAGAAUUGGCCCCUAUAACAAUUGCAAAAACACCUUGGCUCCUAUACUGAAUUUCUAGAAAUCCUUCAGUGAUUUUAGUGCAAUAAGAAUGAAAAAUGGCCUAAUCAUGAUUUUUAUUUGAUCACAUUCUAAUUAUAUUUUUUUUCCACUCACAUUGCUUUGAGCCCGUUUCAUGCUUUUAUUUCAAUUGCUUGGCUUUUAAUUCUCACAAUGCUUUUGUUCACUCAAGUAAUUUUUCAUUUUACCCACAAGCUUGUAAAAGUCCUAUAUUCACUAUAUUGUACCAUUUCUUAUUUUUUCCUCUCAAAUAUUUUGAAAUCACCAAGAUACCUCUACCUAAACUCGAGUUAUUUAUGGCCCGAUAGUUUCAAUAUUACCGAUCAUUAAGAAGUGUCAUAAGGAUCAAUUAUGGGAACUAGGGAUAAAUAGCAUAUUGGUAUGGUUAUUUGAGAAUUAGUUAUUCAAACAAUGAUUUAGGUCAUCCCUAAGAAUUCCACCAUACACACAGCUUCGUAGGAGUCCUAUAUUCAUUGUAUUGUACCAUUUCUUAUUUUUUCCUCUCAAAUAUUUUGAAAUCACCAAGAUACCUCUACCUAAACUCGAGUUAUCUAUGGCCUGAUAGUUUCAAUAUUACCGAUAAGAAGUGUCAUAAGGAUCAAUUAUGGGAACUAGGGAUAAAUAGCAUAUUGGUAUGGUUAUUUGAGAAUUAGUUAUUCAAACAAUGAUUUAGGUCAUCCCUAAGAAUUCCACCAUACACACAGCUUCGUAAGAGUCCUAUAUUCACUAUAUUGUACCAUUUCUUAUUUUUUCCUCUCAAAUAUUUUGAAAUCACCAAGAUACCUCUACCUAAACUCGAGUUAUCUAUGGCCUGAUAGUUUCAAUAUUACCGAUCAUUAAGAAGUGUCAUAAGGAUCAAUUAUGGGAACUAGGGAUAAAUAGCAUAUUGGUAUGGUUAUUUGAGAAUUAGUUAUUCAAACAAUGCUUUAGGUCAUCCCUAAGCAUUCCACCAUACACACAGCUUCUUUCAUACUUUAAAUUUAUCAGAUGAAUAAAAAUUGAUUCAACUAUCAUGUAUCCAUAAUUAUAUAUCGUGCUUAUUUAUCUUAUGGCACAAUCAAACAUUUUUACAUAAGUUUUUCUAGUCUAUUAUCUAAUGUAACUAAGUAACCUGUACCUUGACAAUAGCCCGAUUAUCCAUUGCAAAGUUUAAUUUAGGUUCUAUAAAUGGAGCAAACUGGAAGGAAUUAGCUCGACAAGCAGAUGUGGAUGGUUUUCUAGUAGGUGGAGCUUCUAUAAGGUUAGUAACUUUCUUUCUUUGCUUGUGUCACUAUUGAUUCAUUUAUUUAAUGCAUUUUCUUCAGAUUGUGCACAACUAUUCUUAACUUAUACAUUUUGUGUUUUUACUUCUCUCGAUCAGUCUGAGUUUAUCGAUAUCAUUUAGUUUAAGUUUAACAUCCACAAAGAGAUGCUAAUGUAUAGUUAAAACUCAAGAAGUUUUGUUAUCGAAAAAUUUGAUAAUUUUUUAUGGCAAGAGAAGAGACUAAGCUAGUUUGUUUAUUUGCAGGGAAAAUCUGACGAAGAAUAUGAACAAUCAGAGGGGUUUCGACAGGAGUUGGAAUUGAAGGUUCGAGAGUUGUUGACAGAGCAGUAAUGGUGCCGGGGAAAAAUGGCGAUAAGUGUAUGUUGGAUUCCGUUAAUAUCCCUUGCUUUCUUUAGUUUUCUCGCUCAAUAAAGUCUUACUAUUACUACGAUGAGUUAAUCACCUCUUCUUAUUUCACCUUCACAUAUAAAAAAAAGGAAGAGAAGGAGGAGGUGGAGGUCAACUAAAGAAGGAUGAAGAAGAGAAAAAGGAGAUGUGGAUAAUGUUAGUAUCUCAAGGCUGCAGCAAAUUUUAAAAUAAUAAGACUAAGUCUUAGGGGGAUUUGUUAGCUUGUUGGUAGGAGGAAGAGUUGUUAGCUUGUUAGUAGCAAUUUGAAUUUAUUUCUUGUUGAGGUUGUUACUUGGGACUUGUAUAUAAGGGUUUCUUUGUUAAUCAAUUAAAUUAUCCCUUCAUUCAUAUUUUUUUCUAUACUUCAAUUAGUUCUUUGCUAAACCAACAGUGGUAUCGAGAGCCAUUUUUCUUGAGGGACUUGUGAGAAAAGUUUUGUGAGAGUUCUGAGAAAAAAAUUUUGAGAGAUACACUUGUGAGGUUUUUUUUUGUUGAGGAAAAUAGAAUCGGGAUCGAGUAACCUGUCCAUCUUAGCCCCACUUGUGUUUGAUGGAGAGAAUUAUCAAGCAUGGGUCAUGAGAAUGUAAGCAUACAUGGAGGGUUGUGAUUAUUGGGAAGCUAUUGAGGAAGACUAUGAGGUGACUCCACUUCCUAAUAAUCCAACUAUGAAUCAGAUCAAAAUGCACAAGGAGAGAACCAUCAGGAAGGCUAAGGCAAGGUCUUGUCUUUAUGCUUCAGUUUCGCUAGCCAUAUUCAAUAGAAUUAUGGCUUUUGGAUUAGCGAAGGAAAUAUGGGACUACCUCAAAGCUGAGUAUCAAGGAGAUGAGAGGAUCAAGAGCAUGAAGGUGUUGAACUUGAUCAGAGAAUUCGAAAGGCUACAAAUGAAGGAGUCUGAGUCAAUCAAAGAAUACUCAGACAAGCUGAUAGAUAUUGCCAACAAGGUAAGAGCUUGUGGGGUUGAUCUCUCUGAUUCUAGACUGGUGCAGAAGAUACUUGUCUCCGUGCCUGAGAAAUAUGAAGCAACUAUUGCCUCUUUUGAGAACACUAAGGACUUGACUCAAUUGAAAGUAGUGGAGUUGAUCAGUGCUUUACAAGCACAAGAGCAGAGGAGGCUAAUGGGGCAGGAAGGAAGCAUAGAAAGAAGUAUAGAAGGAGCAUUGAAGGCUAAGAUGCAGCAAGGCGAAAAAGGAGAGGAACAAAAGUGGAAUGAAAAGAAGAGUGAUUGUAAUAGUGGUUCAGAAACUGUUGCAAAAAGUAAUAGUACUGAAAAUUAUAAUAAGUAUUCUUCAUGUAAGUAUUGUGGAAAAUAGAAUCAUCCACAUUUUAGGUGUUGGAGAAGGCCAGAUGUGAAAUGCAUUAGGUGUAACUUGAUGGGGCACAUUGAGAGGUUUUGCAAGGAAUUGAGAAAUCAGCAGUAGGGUGAAGUACAUGCUGUAGUUGAAUAAGAAGAGGAUCAUUUGUUUGUCGUCUCUUGCUUCUCAUCAAGCAUUUUAUGUGACAGUUGGUUAGUUGAUAGUGGUUGUACCAAUCACAUUACUUUUGAUGAGAAGCUGUUUAAAGACCUUGAUAGGUCAUUGAAGUCGAAAGUCAAUAUAGGAAAUGGAGAAUACCUAGAAGUGAAAGGAAGAGGCAUAGUAGCAAUAGAGAGCUAUGCUGGAACUAAGUUGAUUUCAGAUGUUCUGUUUGUACCUGAGAUUGAUCAAAACUUGUUGAGUGUGGGUCAAUUGGUAGAGAAGAGAUUCAAGGUGAUGUUCGAAGAGGGAAUGUGUUUGAUCCUUGACUCUAGUGGCAAUGAAUUGUUUAUGAUCAAGAUGAAGAAGAAAAGGUUCUCAUUGAAUCCAUUUGAGGAGGAGCAAGUGGCAUCCAAGUAUCAAGAAGAUAAUCCUAUCAUGCAAGAACAACUGCAAAUCAAGUGUUUUGAGAAUGAUAUCUUGCAUGCAAAGGUAACUCUCUUGGAGCAGCAGGUGACAUCUUUCUCUGAUAAACUAUCAUCUUUUGCACAUGAAAUAUCUGAAGAACAUGCUGAGGAGCCACGGAAAAAGAAUCUAUCUCAGGAGAUCAAGAGUAAUGUGCAACUUUUAGAAGAGAAUAGUCGGUUAUGUUUCCAAAAUCAAAAGCCGAUUGAAGAAGUUUCAUAUGCGAAAGAAUUGACAUCUGUAGAUGUUCUUGAGUUUAAGAAUUUAGUUGGUAAGGUGAUUAAGUUUUCAAUGCAAAAUACAAAAUUGAAAAAGGAAUUAUUAGUUGCGAGAAGAUUGGUUAAUCAAACUAUAAAUCGUAUUAAUCGCAAGUAUAGUGAUAACACAAGAUCUUGAAAGAAGGGAAAGCACUUUGGCCACUCUUAUGACUUUUCUAGAGCAACUUGUGAUGAUUUUUAAUUAUGGAAUUUUGAUUUAGAUGGCAUUGCUUGCUAGGAAACAAUUAGAGGCAACUCUUGAAGCUACACUAGUCGAGAAGGAAUUCAUAGAAGGCAAAUAUUGAAGAAACUGGUUUUCAAAGAUCAGAUGACGGAUAUUUUACUAUAUUUUUCAUGUUAGUCAUUUUGAGUUUCUUAACAAAAAAUUUGGUGUCUUCUGCACUUGAGUUAGGAGGAGAAUGUUAGUAUCUCAAGGCUGCAGCUAUUUUUAAAAUAAUAAGACUAAGUCUUAGGGGGAUUUGUUAACUUGUUAGUAGGAGGAGUUGUUAGCUUGUUAGUAGCAAUUUGAAUUUAUUUCUUGUUGAGAUUGUUACUUUGGACUUGUAUAUAAGGGCUGCUUUGUUAAUCAAUUAAAUUAUCCCUUCAUUCAUAUUUUGUUCUAUACUUCAAUUAGUUCUUUGCUAAACCAACAGAUAAUUAGAGUUACCCUUCUUUUGAUUAAGGUACCCUUGGAUUUUGUAUUCCUAUUUGGACGUCUUCUUUAUUAAUAAAUUCAUCUACAUAGAAAAAGAAAGAAAAAACAUAAUCCAGAACUUGUAUAAUAAAUAUCUUCAAGAGAUCAAAUAGCAUUGAGUGAACCAAGUAUGAAUUCUUGGGCAACAACAAGACUCCACCAGUGUGUCAAAUAAAGAAGCUAAAGGCUUUCAAUCAAGAGAAAUUAUUUUAGGAGUGUUGGAAUCUAGAAAGAUGAAUUUAAUGGAAACGUUGCACUAUCGGUUGUAACUGUCCUAGACAUUGAACAACUAGGAUUGGUCUCCCAUGAAUGGAUCAUGUCAUCUAUUUCAGAUUCUUCAUCACCACAGUCUUCAAUAACAUUUCCACUUGAAGCUUUAGUCAACUCCAGCUCCAUUGCUACUUGUUUCAUGGUGGGUCUUUUCUUUCCAUUAAGAUUCAAGCAUCGUUUUGCUACCAGAGCCACAACUAUAAUCUCUUGUUCUGGAUCAUCCUUUACUACCACUGGAUCGAGAAUGUUAAAUAAGGAAUUCUCCUGCAUUGAAUGCAAAAAAUAAGAUACCAAGCUUCUCACUGGCUCUGAUUGUUCUGCGGAGAUAGGUUUUUGUCCUGUUAAAAGCUCAAUAAGGACAACUCCAAAGCUAUAAACAUCACUCUUCUCUGUAAAUUGAUUUGAUCGAAAAUAUUCGGGAUCCAUGUAUCCAAAAGUUCCUUGCACCCGAGUGGUUAGAUG